Molecule: long non-coding RNA, 73265 nt
Filed under: Ananas comosus (pineapple)
Lineage: Eukaryota; Viridiplantae; Streptophyta; Magnoliopsida; Poales; Bromeliaceae
Description: long non-coding RNA (ACOM_LNC027728)
Source: RNAcentral
UAUAACGACGCGACCUGCUAACAAUAAUAACUCAUUGGGCUCAACCCGCCGGUCCAAAAUACUUAAGCCCGGUUAUUAUUACUAGCGUGAGGCCUCAUAUAUUCUAAUCAGAAUUAUUUUUCCAUAUGAUGUGGGACUAUUGGGGCAUUACAAACUUCCCCUGUUUAGACAAUGACGUUCUUGUCAAAUCCAAACCCAGAUCACAGACAUACAGAUCAGAAUUACCAGGCGAUGUGAGAUUUUAGAGGUGGCUCUUAUGGAUUUAAGAGGUGGCUCUUACCAAACAUGUUGGUGUAGCACUUUGCCCCGCAUAGCACUUAGCUUUCACAUUUUCGGCUGGUUUUCAGCUCUGAUACCAAUUAUAACAACCAGACUAGCUAGCAAUAAUAACUCAUUGGGUCCAACCACCAACCUAAAAUGCUUAAGCCCGGCUAUUAUUACUAGCGUGAGGCCUCAUAUAUUCUAAUCAGAAUUAUUUUUCUAUCCGGUGUGGGACUAUCGGGGCAUUACAGUAGUAGUUGUUGCCUUUACCCUGAAAACCCUAAUUUCAUGCAAUUCAUGGCCCACAAGAAUGUAUUCUAGCUUAUCCACUAGUUCCAUCAAUCACUUUUCAGUGCACCAAAACAUGAUAAUAAUCAAGCGCAACUCAGAAAGGAUGUCUCCAACUGCUACAACUCUACACACAGAUACAUACAAAGCCCUAGUUUCAUGCAAUUAAUGGCCCACCAUAAUGCAUACAGCUUAUCCAUUGGUUCCAUCAAUCACUUUUUUAGUGCACCAAAACAUGAUAAUAAUCAAGCGCAACUCAAAGGAUGAGUCUCCAGCUGCUACAACUCCAUACACAGAUACAUAGGUACCAGCAAAAUCGGAAUUUUCACACAUGCCCUUUCAGACCUUAAUUUUUUUUUACGUAAAAACAUAUAGAACUUAUCUAAACUAUGGGCCAUUUUAAUUUAGCUGCUCAACCUUUUAAAUUUUUUAUUUUACUACUCAACCUUUCAAUUUGUUUGAUUUGAACUUGUAAAGAUAAACGACACAUUCAAAUUUUGAAGUCAAGUGUUGUUGACUGACUCAAAUCAAACAAAUUGAAAAGUUGGAUAGUAAAAUCAAAAUUUUGAAAAGUUGGGUAGCCGAUUCAAAAUGGUCCAUAGUUCAGAUAAGUUUUGUGCAUUUUUACCUUUUCUUUAUAUAUAUGCCCUUGCACUUAACAGAAGAUGCCCCUCUUUAAGAAACUUCUAAGACAAAAGUAACUCCACCAAUGAAUCAUAAAUUCCCAACUAGGUGGUGUAAGUAGAUUAUAUAUAUAUAAGCCCAUUUAAAUGUCAUGGACAAUUGUGUUUUAUCAAUAUAGAUGAAGUUGCCUGUCUCAUAAAAAUGCGAACAUGGGCGCUGCAGAAGCACAUUUACUGCAGCUAACACAUAACAUUCGUAUAAUAGAAAAAGUUUCUUUUUAUUACCAGCUUGUUGAUGAUACAAUAAGUGACAGUCAAAGCCGAGUCGUAUUACUAACUCACAAAGGUUCUAUGUUGCUGGCUUUUCUCAGGAUAAUGACGGCAGAACCUUCCCAGUGCAAGUCCCAAAUCCUAUGUUGUAAUCUUCGCCCUGCAAAAUAUUGCAUACAGAUCAACUUUGGCCAUUAAAAUAAGCAAAAGCUUUAGAAUUAUUAACCCAUAAACUGAUAUAGUAAUGUUCACAUAAGAAAUGCUACUUCUGCACCCAAAAGCGGGGCGUAAAUUGUUCACCCACUCAUCCAAGGGUUUAGACACCCUUUUUGGAUUUUUAAUAUUAAAAGAAAAGAUUGAUAAGACUAGUGUGGAAGUAUUGACCCUUGAAUGGUUAGGGAGUAAGAUUUACGCCCAGUUUUUGGGUAGCAUUGCCCUAUUUAUAUAUCAUCUACAGAAGAAUAUAGACUUCAAACAAGCUAUUUACACAAAUAAAUAUUUAUAUAGUAAUACUAUACAAAGCAAAGAUAAGGAAAAAGGGGAAACAAAGAAAAGGAUAAACUUCAAAGAAGGGCCGAGUUCGGAUAAGGUUUUAAACUUUAAUCUACAUGUUUGGGUCACGUUUGAUUUAAACUUGACACAAAAUCUGUUAGACUUCAGAUUUAAAUUGGAUUUUGGGUUAAGUUUAAAUCGAAGUCCAACCCAGGUACGAUCAAAAACCAAGCUCAAACUCCCACGGAGAUGACAAAAAGAUCAUUAUGGAAAAAUGGAAUGGCAAGCUCAAAGCACAAAAGUGAUACAUUAAAGUACAGGGCGCUGAUUUGAAAUGCACCAUAGCACAGGGCCAUAUUAUAGUUUACCUUAAAGAAAAAGUGGCCACCUUUGCGUCACACAAAACUAAUUGUAACUAACAGAUAAUAUUGGAGGUUGGCAUUUCAUUGUAGCACCAACAAAACAGGUAUUUGGAAAACACGUUGUAAUUACAGUGCAUAUUAUACAUAUUCUGCCUGAGUUGUCAAAAUGAUCAAAUGAUUUGCAAUUUAUGCAGCCAAAAUUAGCUUCUAUGAGCAAUAUAUGACAGCCUGAACAAUUAAACUACAGGUACUCUAACGAUAAUCAAUCACCCAAUAAUAAAUAAAAUCACGACAAGAUAUGGCAGCGAAACGCCUAUUGCUCAACUUGACUCAAACUGAAAUUGAAACUUUUCGAUUUUGAACUUCCCAAAAAGUCAUCUCAACAAAAUAAAGUUUGGCGACAUCAAACCUUGGAACAAGCAGUAAAGGUGACUUCAUCUCCAUCUUCUAAAUAUUUACGGCUUGAGCUCCCUAAUGUAAGCGAAUUUUUUGCAUUCCAUGUCAGCUCUAGCAAGCAUCCCAAAGAUUCUGGUUCCUGAAAUAACACUGAUGUUAGAAUAAACCCAAUCAAGCAACCACCAAAAAAAAAAAGUUCUAAUUACAAAAUUACAAAAUUUUUAAGAAAAGGAAAGAGGAUAUCUUGAUGAGAGAGAUAUUUUUACUACUAUCACAAAACAAAUUAUUUCUUACAGGUCCGCUGAUGGUUCCGGUUCCAAGCAGAUCACCCGGUCUUAAGUUGCACCCAUUAACAGUAUGAUGGGCAAGUUGUUGUGUCACUGUCCAAUACCUGAAAAAUUGUAGCACAGGAGGUAAACAAGUCGUAAUUCUAAAAACCAUGUUUUUUCAUCAUACUCAGGGGGGGUGGGGGGACCUAAGACAGCAUGUAAAAUGUUUAAUUGGUUAUGAUGUGAAAAAGAAGGUUUUCACAAAUUCAACAUGAGGUGGCAAAUUCUUACAGAUGCUUAAAGUUACUCUUUGUGAUGACUGACGGAUUGUCAUGGCCUUUAGGUUUGAUCCAAACCUUGCAGUAAAAAAUAUAGCAUGAUCAGAGCAUACGGUAAUCUCCUUACAUCUUAAAAGCAUUUUGUUGUCCACAAUAAACAACUAAGCAAACUGAAUAGAAAAUUAGAAAUUAAAAUACCUACUUCCAAAGGAAUGUCAUAGUUUAUAUGCUUCUUUUCUGCUAAAUAUGGCAAAGGUGGAGGAUCCUGCAAGUAAGAGCAUAUUAGCUGUAACUAGAAUAUGAAAUUCAUCACUAAAAACUGGGGUAUAUAUGUGCAUUUUUGAAAUCUGAAGUAUGAAGAAGAGUCCAAAGCACCUGUAUUGGUGCAUUGCAAGCAAAAGGUUCUAAAGCAUCUAAAGUCACAAUCCAAGGUGAAAUUGUUGUACCUACCAUAGAAACGAGAUUUGUAAGAUGAUAAAGAUAAAAAUUAACACAAGCGAAGUUAUUAAAAAAAAUAAAAGAAGUUGAGUUAAUCACCAAAGCUCUUUCCAAGGAAAGGCCCAAGAGGCACAUAUUCCCAUGCUUGUAUAUCUCGCGCUGUAAAGAUACAUCACUAGUAGGUGAAAAGAAGUCCAUUAUUUACUCUUAACUAAGGGAAGUAAAACAAAAGAAAAGAAAAGUACCACUCCAAUCAUUCAUUAGUACCAGUCCAAAUAUGUGAUCUGCUGCAUUGUCGACAGCUAUUGGUUUGCCCAACUCAUUUCCUGGCCCAACAAUAGCCGCCUAGAAACAAGAAUUUUAAACAUCAACGAGAUGAUUAUGAACCAUAAAGUAAUCAUACUUAGUAAAACAUGCAUGCACAACCUAGAAUCUGGGCAAAAAUGAAAUCCUCUAUGGUGAUCGAGUCAUAUGUAAAAAGGGAAUGAAAAUAACUUAAGUACAAGAAAAUAAACACUAUGGGCUAACCAUUUCGAGCUCAAAAUCCAGCUUCUGAGAGGGCCCAAAAUACGGUAGAGAAUUUCCUGAUGGAUGACCUUGGCCUCUGACAAGAAAAUUGAAAGAGAAGGAUCUUAGCUGGCUAUUUGAAUCCUUGUAAAACUUAGCUAAAACAAUAUAUAAAAAUUUAAACAAUGUUCGAGAAAAAAAUGUUGAGAAGAGAAUUCCAAACAUUAAACAUCUUCUUAGUGCAAAUAUAGCCUAAUUUAAAAAUUAUAUUAAUUGGUUGAAUUCAAGGCCAAGCUAGACUUACUUGGUAAAGCCAGUUAACUAUGUAUGUAUCAGAUCAGUCAGAUUUGACCCUUUAAUGGCUUAAUUGCACAUCCACUGAGGACUGACGAAUAUUGCCAGUUCAACUAAUAGACAACAAAGAGGCAUAUUCUUUUAUAUUAUUUAGAAUUAAGAAAUUGGGUAAGUUCAAGAAAGAAAUUUGUUUGCUGCAGCACAAUUCUGUAAAUUGUAGGCACAAAGCCAGUACAUUUCUUUACGUCAUCCAUCAUAUCAUCAGCUAGUCAAGCUUUCGUGUAAAACAUAUGAGAAAAGGAGAUUAAGAGAUUCUAGCUCCUGUUUAAAAAGAAAAUAAAAAUAAGUGGAGCACAAGGAGAAAGGUUGAGCAAGAUUUCCUCAAGGAGCUUCCAAUUAUUUGUAUACUCCGCUGCUGCAAUAAUCACUAUCUGCAGGAAAUCUAUUAUCUUACUCUGUACAUUUUUUCUAUUUUUUGAGGAACUUCCCACUAUCCACUCUAUUUAUAAGCCUCAGCUAAUGCAUUAUUCGGUAUGACUUAUGGCGCAACUCUUGCCAGAUUUUGUUUUCGUCAUGUAUUUCAACACCACUUUCUUUUCUUUUUUCUUUUUUGAAUGGAAGUAUUUCAACAUCACUUUGAGUGGAUUGGCAUUAUAGAUUGGCAGCUGAUAACAAAAUUAGUCAAUUGUCAGCAUUCUCAAAUUAGACUAAUGCUCUAUAUUAUGGCCUUAAGUAAAUAUGAUGAGAAGCAUAUUUAAAUUUUGUUAUAGUUAUCCAGGUCCAGGAUAGGCUUAGAUUGUGCUAAUCAAGCAAGCCUAAAGUAGAAGAAGAAAUACUCAGGAGCAAGCGGAAGACGAAAAAAUGAACAGAGCUUCACUUGAAUGCUUAAGCAAGCAAGAAAGUAAUGUUACAAAAUCUUUGAGCGUGCUAUGAAUCUUCAUGAAGGACAAAGAUAGGCAUAAAUGCACUUAUGAAUGUCAGAAAUGCAAGUGUCAAUUAUGAGUCAGCUGUAUAUAGUCUAAUGAGAAUAACAUGCAUAAAAGAACAAACAAGGAUAUCUUAAACAUCUAAACGGGAAAAAAAAAAAAAAAUUGUAGCAUAUGAUCUUUUGGUUGAUCCGAUAGUUGGAAAUGGCCAAAUAUAUUUCUCAUUACAACAUCAAAGUAAUAUUUAAACACUGAAUACCAAAUUCCUUUCGUGAUGUGCACACCUUGGACGAACAAUAUCUGUUCCAGAGAUUACUAUAGAUGAUGCCCGUCCAUGAUAAGCUAUUGGAAGAUGAAACCUGAAAGUUCAACCAAAAAGUGAGCUUAAGAACUCCAUGAGCUGCAAAUAAACAUAAAGUACUAGCUCUAUAUGUGGCACUCAGUGCAAGUGUAGAGAACAAGAAAAACCAAAAGAAUUAUUAGGCACAAAGAGUAGAAGGAGAAUUGCAGCACUAGGGCUAUACAAGCAAUCUAUUAAUCAAGAGUCAAAAAAUAAAUAAAUAAAUAACAUGAAAAAAAAGGUGACAAUGGAAUGUAUAAGGUCUUCAACCAAAGAAAUUGUUCUAGACACAAAACAAUUCUGCUUGUACCAUGAACUAUUGCCUUCUCCGAAUAAACUCGAACCGUUCAGGAGGAAAGAUAGCAUCUAUCUAAUUAGUCAUCAUUCUCUAUCUCUUGGGUACCUAGUUCUUAUUUCUCCCAUCCAUCGUCAUAUUUAUUCUUUCUGUGACAAACAACCACAUUGAUCCACAGUUAACAGAAUUUAAUGUCCCAAAAGUCCUAAUCUAUUUUCAAGCAGCAACAAUCAAACCACUAGCAUUACCACCUAAUAUCACAAAAAUAAAGCAUCUUAACAGUUACUCGACAAAUCCAAAUUUGUACUCAGUUUAUAGUCUUUCACAACUAGUGGCCAAAAAGUGCCUAAAUAAACCACCAGAAGAAGUACACAUGAUGCAACGUGCAUAUAAAAUAAACCGAAACUUUACCAGUUUGGUGCGAUUGCAUUUUCUGGUCCUCGGAAAAUUGUCCCGCAAUUCUUUGCAUGGUACAUAGAUGAAAAAAAAUCUGUGUAGUCCCCUAUUACAAUAGGCAAAAGCAUCUCUACCUCACUCUGCUAGGUCAAAAGAUGGCAUUAACAUCUCAUUAGCUGCGGAAAGAAAAAAUGGGCAGAUAAAAUCUCUAGGCAAAAGUUACUUAUACCAUUGGCAGAAGGCACUUUUCCCUUAAAGUAGCAUUAUCACGUAAUACUGGCUCAUCGGCUGCAAAGGAACAAAUAGAGGCACAUAAUUUAGACAACUAUGAUAACCAAAAUAAUUUGAACAUGGCAUGAAAGUAGAGGAAAAGAACCAUUUUUCUAAUAAGAUGGUAGAAAAUUAACAUAAGCAAAGAGUAAAUUACAAUAUAAACAUGCUCGUCACCACAAAAAAUAGCAGCUAUACCUGACAGAAUUUUCUGGAGAGUGGAUCGCGCCUCCUUCCAAGCCGGUCGCCCCAUUUCAAGAAACAUGUUGAGAGAUGGCUGUUAUUAUAACAACUAGUCUUAUGUCAGUUAACUGGAACAGUGCUAACACAUUCAAGAAUCAAACAUAAAGUUCAAAUAUAUCCCUACAAUUUGAAUUGAACACUCUAAUUACUAUCAAAUUAGUAUAAAAUAAAAAGGACAAGUGUUUUUUGCAGUCCUUCAAAGUUCGUAGUGUCAUAAUAUCCUGUUGCCUUGGCUAACUUAAUAAUCUACAGUCACUAACCUUUCUCCAUCCAGAAUCAUCAAAGAAACUAGUAAGACUAUUCGUAGAUAAUAUCCUAUGAGCUUGAAUUGGUGGGUCACAUGGUAUAUUGGUAUUAGAGCUAGUUCUAUGCCCUAUCAGUUCCAAGAGAUCAUGAGUUCAAUCGCACUUCCGCAUUCAAUGGCAAAAACUUAUGUUUGUUUCUCUUCUGUUAUCUACCCUGUUAGUGCACGUGGCGUAGUUCACCUAACCUUAUUCUAUAUUCCUCCACUGUUUGCUGAAAGAUUAAUUUUUUUGGUGAUGCAAAUUAUCUGAUCAUAAAAAUAGAAACCAUAAUUUGUCUGCAGGAACACUUUUGACUCUUCCCAGAGAUUAACACAAGUUCAAAUCCAAGAAAAAAGAAUCCAGAAAUUAUUCCCCAGAACAAGUCCAUAGACCAAAGUGCUAUGCCAAGACAUUCUCAUUGUUUGGUGGGUGAGAAAAAGAAUAUAGGAGGCACGGCGCAAACGUACGGGUAACUUUCACCCCUAUAAAAGAAUUUCAAAGAUAGUUGGUGCAAUUCGCCAGUACCUCUAUUCAUGGGUAGGUGCUUAAAUGGUACUCUUUACUGUGAAUACCCAAAAUACUGGGUUAUUUUUUGUGGAGAAAUUGUUGCAUGGACCGCGGUAUGUAGACCGGGGUCUGCAAAACUCAAUCAUAUUUUCUUGGCAUCAAGUAGUUGCAAAAAUUAAUUACGCUAAAAGAUCUAUUGUCAUUGCCAUUGCACAAAAUAAUAAUAAUAAUAAUAACAACAACAACAACAAUAACAAUUAUCUAAAGUCAUGAAUUUUAAGAUACGUCAAGAUACAAACAGCGCGUUUGGUUCAGGUACAGAAUCAAAAUCAGAAUGAACUAGGAUUGUAAUCUAAAGGGAAAAUUGCACAUUUGGUCCUCGAACUAUAAUUUGUUGCAAUUUCUAGCUCGAACUUUCGAAAUUAUUGAAAUCAAGUCAUAUAUCCCAAUUUAGUUGACUUAUAAAUGUAUCACUAAUGUGGAAGUGAGGUAGUCUUGUUUUGAUUGGCGAUGCAUCAGAAAUUAAUAUGUCACGUUACUUUUACAUCAGCGACGCAUCAACAUUUAAUCAACUAAAUUGGGUGGCAGAACUUGAUUGCUACAAUUCUAAAAGUUCGAGGAAAAACUUACAACAUAUUAAAGUUUGAGGGCCAAAGCGUCACUGGCCUUUUUGUUUGAGAUUUUGGCCUUUGAGGUUUUGGCCACAGCCGGUGUAUAGACCACGUCCAUGCAACAAUAAAUCGUGGUCGAUACAACAAGAAAAAUGCUUCCUGUACGCCCAAAAAGGAGGGUGCAGAUCUUACACCCUCCAUCCUAGGAUUGAAAAAAAUCCAAAUGGUUUUUACUAAGAAUAAAAAAAAUUAAUGCGACAAAUAGAGUAUCAAUGGCCUUGGGAUAGAGUGAGUGUAAGAUGUACACAGGCAAAAAUAAAAAAAAAAAAAAAAAAAAAUUACAUAGAGUUUUUUGAAUUGUACCAUUUUUAUAAAUAAAUUAUAUGAAAGGAGUUCCAAGGGUACAUAUAUGNUUUAAAUUAGCAUUUUUGGGGAUUGCUCUCGAUGGGCGCCACGUGACUCGCAGACGUCCAUCCCACCGUCCCUUUUCCUUCCUCUACUUCUUUCUCUCUCAAAAAAAAAAAAAAAUGACGUUUUUUUAAUUUUUGAGGAAAAGAAAGGGAUGGUAAGAUGGGCACCUGCGAGCCACACUGCGCCCAUCCGGAGUGUCCCCAAAAAUGCUAAUUCGGACACCAUGUCCAUACAAUUUUUGCCCGAUGUACACCCCACUUUGGGUUGUCCCUGCAUACACAGGGGACAGUAUACAGGUAAAAACGUAUGAAGACCCCUCAACUAUAGGUAAUUUCAAAUGGUCCCCUCAACCCCUUUUUUUCAAUUACUCUUACCCUCUAGCUUCUAAAUUCUUCUGCUUUAGUGUUUAUACUUAGUUAACUAAAAGGAUUUAUCAAAUUUAAUGAGUCUAUUAGUCAUUAACCGUUAAUUGACCAAGUUAAAUUUACUAAAAAGUAAUUAGAGUCAUUAAAUUUGAUAAAUUCCUCAAUUUGUUUUGGCUAAAAUCACUUAAUUCCAAAAAUUAAGAAGUUAAGAUAGUCUCUCUACACAAUUUUACCAAGUAUAUAUGCAUCACGCACAUCAACUGCUUCAAUAUACCAGGUCCCUGCACUAAUUUCUCCCAAAAAAAUCUCAAAAAAUACCAAAUUAAAAAAAAAACAGUGAUGUAUCGAAAAUGCAACGAGAGAGAGAGAGGGGGGUUAGGGUUUUGUGGAGGGGGGGGGAGGGACCUGGAAGAAGCAAUCGGAGCCCUUGAGCUCGGGGCCGUCGAAGAGCCCCGCCGCGGCACGCGGAGAGUCGAGCACGAACUCCCCGAUCGCCACCCCCGGCCUCGCCGCCGCCGCCGCAUCGCCGCCGCCUCCGCGCCGCCCUUGGGGCGGAAGACGCCGAAGGGAGGUUCUCCGGCGGGAAGUGCGAAUCCCGAUGCACCUCCACGAACGAUCUGCGACAACCCAUCUCCCCCUCUCUAGAGAGAGAGAUGAACGAACAAAGAGAGAGAGAGAGAUAGAAUGAGAGGACUAGGCUGGCAAAUGAGCGAGCCGGCUCGCGUUCGACUCGCGUUCGACUUGAUAUUUGGCUCGCUCGAGCUCGACUCGAAAUUAAAUGAGCCGAGCUUUAACAAAAAAAAAGGCUCGAAUUCAUUUCAAGCCGAGCUUGAGUAUACUCGGCUCGUUCGAAUUAGGCCCGAAAAGCUCGAAAAGCUCGAAUAUAUAUAUAUAUAUAUAUAGUAGAGCUACUAUGCUAUCAAAAGUAUAGAGGAUCUGGUGCUUUCGAUUUUUUGAUUCUUAGAUCAACCCCUUUAAUCAUUUUUUAUCUUUGGAUCAAUACUAUUAUUAUCUUGUAGGGACCACUCAAUCCUAGGGAUAUUAUUUAAUCCUAGGGGGACUGCAAUCAUCCCAACCAUACAAUUCUUAAUCAAAGGGUCAAAAAUUCGAAAACAUCAAAUUCUCUAUAUUUUCGAUAGCAUAGUAGUUCUACUAUAUAUGUAUAUUAAAAAAUAUAUAAAUAUAUUAUAUUUUAAUUAUAUAUAGGCUGAGUGAAUAAUCUUGAGUUUAGUUAAAAUUUGGCCAAUAUUGUUGGCCCAUAAAAACAAAACCAAUAGACAAAUAAAAGAGUAAAAUUUCACUAAAUUUAUACAUUUUUUCUUUCUUUAUUUAUUUCACAGAGCUCUAAAUUUUCAAUAUGUUUCUCUCUUUCUCUUUUUCUGUCUCUCACCCUAAGUGGCCAAGCCGGAAGCUCUCCAAAUUACCAAGUAACAGCAUAUACCCACCGUUGCCUAUCUUGCUAUUAAUUGUAUGCUUGAAAAAAAUAUACAGAAUAUUUUUAAAGUAAAAAAUUAUUAUUUAUAUAAAAUUUUAAUUUUAGUUAUAUAUGAUUGGAUAGUUUAAUCCAAUAUUUAUCUAUAUAAUUUAUUUAUUUUUGAUUGCAUAAAUGAAAAUAAAUAAUAUAGAAAUUGAAGGCGAAAGAAAAGACAUGUGAGGCGGAAAAGAUUAGAUAUUCAACUCAUAAAUUUUUUUUUUCAUAUUAUAAUACUAUAUUUUAUAUAAUUAUUUUGUACUUUGAACUAUUUGACAUAUUUUUGUAUCAAAUUAUAGAUAAUAUUCUAUACAAAUUAAACUAUUGAUNNNNNNNNNNNNNNNNNNNNNNNNNGUUUACCUGUUAAUUGCACGUGGCGUUGGUUUCAACCUAACCUAUUCUAAUAUUCCUCCAGUUUGCUGAAAGAUUAAAUUUUUUUGGUUGAGUGCAAAAUUAUCUUUGAAUAUUAAAUAAAAAACCUUAAUUGUCUGGCAGGAACAACUUUUUGAUUUCUUUCCAAGAGGAUUAAAGACAAAAACAACAGAGUUCCCAAUUCCAAGAAAAAAAAUGAAAAUCCAAGAAAUUUUAUUCCCCGAAAAACAAAGUCCAUAGACCAAAAAGGCUUUUAUGCCAAAAAAAGACGGGUUUCUUUUCAGUUUGUUGUUGGUGUGGGUGAGAAAAAAGAAAUAUAGGGGAAGGGCACGCGCAAACGUUUUUACGUUAAAACCUUUCACCUAUUUUAAAAAAUUCAAAAGGAUUAGUUGGGUUUGCAAUUUCGCCAGUUUAAACUCUAUUUUUCAGGGUAGGUUGCGUUAAUUGGUACUUCUUACUGUUGAAUACCCCAAAGAUACUGGGGGUUAUUUUUUUUUGUGUGGAGGAAAAUUGUUGCAUUGGACCGCGGGUAUGUGGAACCGGGUCUGCAAAAAACUCAAAAAAUCAUAUUUUUUUUUCUUUUGGCAUUCAAGAUGUUGCCCAAAUUAAAAAUUUACCGCUAAAAGAAAAAUUCUAUUGUCAUGCCAUGGCACCAAAAAUUAAAUAAUUAAAAUAUAACAACAACAAACAACCAAUAAACAUUAUCCUUAAAAUUCAUUGAAAUUUUAAAGGAUACGUAAAGAUACCCAACAGCGCGUUUGGUUUUUCAGGUUAACAGAAAUUUCAAAAAUCGAAAUGAACAGAUUGUCAAAUCUUUAAAAAGGGAAAUGCACAUUUUCUCGAAACUAGUAUUUGUUUUGAAUUUUUCUAGCUCGAAACUUUCGAAAAUUAUUAGGAAAAAUCAAAGUCUAUUUAAUCCCAAUUAAGUUGACUUUAUUAAUGUUAAUUUUCCAAACUAAUGUUGGAGUUGAAGUAAGUCUUGGUUGCAUUGGCGAUGCAUUCAAAAAUAAUAAAUUCACGUGUACUUUUACAUCAGGGACGCAUCCAAACUUAUCAACUUAAAAUUUUGGGGUUGGCGAACUUGAAUUGCUACCAAUUCUAAAAAAAGUUCGAGGAAAAAAAACUUAACAACAUUAUUAAAAGUUUUUGGGGGCCAAAAGCGUCCCCAACUGGCCCUUUGUUGAAGAUUUUGGGCCUUUGGUUUUGGCCAAAAACAGGCCGGUGAUAGACACUGGUCCAUUUGGCAAAACCAAUAAUCGUGGUCAAUUACAAAACAAGAAAAAAAUGCUUCUUUGUUUUUUCGCCCAAAAAAAGGGGAGGGUUGGCAAAAGUCUACACCCUCCAUCUAAGGAUUGAAAAAAAAAUUUCCAAAAAUGGUUUUUUUACUAAGAUUAAAAAAAAAAAAUAAUGGCGACAAAUAGAAAUUACAAUGGGCCUUGGGGAUAGGAGUGAGUGUAAGGAUGUACCAACAGGGCAAAAAAAAAUUGUAUGGACAUGGGUUCCAAUUUAGCAAUUUUGGGGAACACUUUCGGAUGGGGCGGGCGCGUGGGCUUUUUCCGUAGGCGCCAUUCUCGACCAUCCUUUUUCCUUUUUUCUUCUACUUUUCUUUUUCUCUCUCAAAAAAAAAAAAUUGCGUUUUUUUUAUUUUUUUUGAGAAAGAAGGAUGGUUUAAGAAUGGGCACCUGCGAAAGCCAAACUUUGCGGCCCCCAUCCGAGUUCCCAAAAAAUGGUUAAUUUUCGGGACAAACCAUGUCAUUAACAAUCCCGUGUUUUAACAAACCCAACUUUGGGGUUGGUUUUCCCCUGCAUUACAACCAGGGGAAAGUAUAAAACAGUAAAAACGUAUGGAAAGACCCCCUUUCAACUUGAGGUAAUUUUUUCAAAAUGGGUCCCCUUUUUCAACCCCUUUUUUUUCAAUUUACUUUCUUUUUACCUCUUAGCUUGUAAAAAUUCUUCUGCUUAGUGUUUAAUAACUUUUAAAAGUUAACUAAAAGGAUUAUCAAAUUUAAUGAGUUCUAUUUUAAGUUCAUUAAAACCGUUAAGAACAAGGUUAAAAUUACUAAAAAAAGAAAUUUAGAAUUCAUAAUUUUGAUUAAACUUUCCAAUUUGUUUUGGUAAAAACCCUUAAUUCCAAAAAAAUUAAGAAAUUCAAAGAUAGUCACUCUAACAACCAAAUUUUACCAAGUAUAUAUGGCAAAUUUCAAACGGCAAACAUCACUUGCUUUCAUAUACCAGGUCCUGCACUUUAUAUUUCUCCCAAAAAAAAAAAAUCUCAAAAAUUACCAAAAAAAUUAAAAAAAAAAAAACAGUUGAUGUAAUCGUAAAUUGCAAACGAAAGAAGAGAAAGAAAAAGAAGGGGAGAGGAGAAGAGAAAGGGGGUUUAGGUUUUUUUGUGGGGGGGGGGGGUCAGGGACCUGGAAGGAAAAGCAAAUCGGGAAAGCCCUUGAAGCUCGGGGGCCCGUUCGAAAGAGCCCGCCGCGGGGGGCACGGGAAGAGGUUCGAAGCAACGAAACUUCCGAUCGCCAACCCCCGGCCUCGCCGCCGGGCCGGCCGCAUUCGCCGCGCCCCUCCGGGGCGGCGCCUUGGGGCGGAAGACCCCGAUAGGGGGAGGUUUCUUUUCCGGGCGGGAAGUGCGAAACCGAUUGCACCUUCACGAAACGAAUCUGGCGAUCCACCCCAAUCUCCCCCCUCUCUAGAUGAGAAGAGAGAAAUGACACCGAAAGAGGAGCGGAGGAGAGGAUGAUAGAGUUAUGAGAGGACUAGGGGCUGGCAAAUGAGCGAAGCGGGCUCGCGUUCGACUCGGCGCUUACGACUCGAUAUUGGCUCGGCUUCGAGCCUCCGGGGGACUCGAAGUUUAAAUGAGCCGAGCUUGAACAAAAAAAAAGCGCGUCUGAAAUUCAUUUCAAGCCGAGCUUGCAGUAUUACUGGCCUCGUUCGAAUUUAGGCUCGAAAAAUCUCGAAAAGCGGUCGAAAUACUAUAUAUUAUAUAGUAGUUAUAGGUUAUAGUAUAGGUAUAUCAUAGUAGAGCUACUAUGCCUAUCAAAAGUAUAGAGGAUCUGGGCUGCUUUCGAUUUUUUGAUUCUUUAGAUCAACCCUUUAAUCACUUUUUAUCUUUGGAUCAAUUACCUAUUAUUAUCUUGCUAGCGGACACUCAAUCCUAAUUUAGGAAUAUAUAUUUAAUCUAGGGCCGACGUGCAAUCAUCGCCACCAUACAAUUCUUAAUCGAAAGGCGGUCAAAAAAAAUUCGAAAACAUAAUAUUCUCUAUAUUGUUCGAUUAGGCAUAGUAGUUGCUACGUAUUAUAGUAUAUUAAAAAUAUAUAGAAUAUCAUUAUAUUUAUUAUAUAUAGGCUGAGUGAGGAUAAUCUUGAGUUUAGUUAAAAUUUGGGGCCAAAUAUUGUUGGCCCAUAAAAACAAAACCAAUAGACAAAUAAAAGAUAAAAUUUCACUAAAUUGUAUACAAUUUUUCUUUCUUGUAUUUAUUUCACAGAGCUUUAAAUUUUCAAUAUGUUGUCUCUCUUUUCUCUUUUUCUGUCUCUCACCCUAAGUGGCCAAGCCGGAAGCUCUCCAAAUUACCAAGUAACAGCCAUUCCACCGUUCUAUCUUGCUAUUAACUUGUGAUGCUUGGGAAAAAACUAUACAGAAUAUUUUAAAGGGUAAAAAAAUUAUUUUAUUUUUUAAUAAAAUUUUAAUUUUUAGUGUUAUAUUAUGAUUGGAUAAGUUUAAUCCAAUAUUUACUUAUAUACUUUUUUAUUUUUGAUUGCCGAUAAAUGAAAAUAUAUAAUAUAGAAUGGAAGGCGAAAGAAAAGCAUGUGAGGCGAAAAAUUAGAUAUUCAACUCAUAAAUUUUUUUUUUUUCAUAUUAUAAUACUAUAUUUGGUAUAUAAUUAUUUUACUUGGAACUAUUUGGACAUAUUUUGUUCAAUAUAGAUAAUAUUCUUAUACGAAUUAAAACUACGUUGAUUCGUGAUAAAUGUUUGAGAAUUUCAAGCGCUCGUUUAGGGGCUCGAGCUCGCUCGACUCGAAAUUAGGCUCGCUCGAGCUCGGCUCGAAUUAAUUUCAAUCCAAGCUUGAGCUUAAAUUUAGGCUCGAAAUUAAUUUCAAGCCGAAUUUGAGCUGAGGUAAGCUCGCUCGAGCUCGGCUCGUUUCCACCCCUAAGAGAGACGAGUCUCUCUCUCUCUCUCUCUCUAUAUUUAUAGGUGUGUGUGUAAUUUAAGGCUCUUUCCUACUGAGGUGGGAGUUGUUAUUAUUACCCUUUGUUAUGGUUUUUUUCUUUUUUUUCUUUUAUGGGAUUCUCAAUUUUUUAAGUUAUCUAAAAAUUAAUUUUAGAACUUUUUUUUACAUUUAGUCUUCUCAAAAACAAAAAAUAUAAAUAAUCUUACAAAAUUUAUAUUUGUAAGAUUGGUCCUAUGUUCACCACGUGACCGUCAUGCGAGCACCGUGCGAGGGUGAAUGGCGGGUAGGUUAAGUUGAACACGGUGAAUCAUUCACUGUGCUGAAUCAUUCACCGUGUCGUGUUCUAUUAUUUUUUAUCACAGUAUCACGUAAUAUUUAAAAUUUCUGGUUUAAGAAGAAUAUGGUGAACCAUUCACUGUAUCCAAACAUAGUGAAUGAUUCACCGUAUUCAACUGAACCUACUGUCACGCCCACAUGGCGCUUGUACGACACUGUCGUUGCGAAGAUAGGACGAGUCUUAUAAAUAUAAAUUUUGUGGGACUAUUUGUAGAAAAAAAAAAUUUGAGGAUGCUAAAUACAAAAAAAAAAAAAAACCCUUAAUCUAAGUAGAACGUAAAACCAAAGCGGUAAACCACAACAUUAUUGGAUUUAACAAAUAAUAAUAAUAACAAAAGAAGUUGAAGUUUAAAAUGAACUGACGUCUGUUGAUAAACUAAUAAUGAGUGCAUAUAUUAUUUUAUUUUUUUUAAAAAAAAUUUGUUAAGUAGAAAUUAAGAGUGAACAUAUUGUAUAAAAAUUAGGAAGUUUAAAUUAUUACUUAUAUUUUUUUCUUUUACUUUUGAGACUCACACGCCAUCAACAAGAAAGCAAAUGAGACAAAUUUCAUAACGAAAAGAAUCCCCCACUUUUCACCCUGUUUUCUUAGCGGGUUAGGCAGAUUCAAAACGAAUUAAUUCGUGUGGGCCGAGAAUAGAUUCUAAACAGAUUUUUAACGCAACGGGAUGAAUCUAAAGAAGAAAAUGUCGUCACCUUCCGCUUCAUUUUUUUUGACGGAAGGAAUUCAGGAAGAAUUAUUAUUUUUCUUAUUUUUAGCCAUCACUUACCGCCUUAUUAGGAUGAAUCGGCACAGAAGCUCCACCAACGUGAAUCUAUCUGCAUCCCAACUCAUUGAUCCACCGUUAAUCUUUUGAUAAGAUAUUUUUAAUAAUAUUAUUUUCAGAUUUAACCACGAGAAAAAGCAAAAGAGACGUUGAAGUUCAGUAUAAAAUAUUGUGUGCUUACAUAAUCCAAGAGUGAACAUAUCAUUUUAUUUUUUAUUUUUUAUUUUUUAAAAUCUUUUAUUAAUCAUGCGAGGUAGUUGUGGAUGGUAGUGUGCAAAAUGGAAUGGCAAUAAAUAAAUAAUAAAAGAAAAAAAAUGUAUGGAGACCCCUCACCUUAUGCCAUUCUAAAAUAGCCUUCUCAACUUUCCUUUUUUUUUUAUGGGUUAAUUGCGAAUCAUUUUUUUAGGACAAAUAUCAUUUAUGUGGUUUCGCACUUUCUCACUUUUGUAUCAUGUGGUUUAAAGUGUAUCAAUGUAGUAUCCCGUGGUUUCUCUCUUUUCAUCAACUCCUUCGUUAACAUUUUGUUAAAUUAUAUACAAAAAACUUCAGAUACCCUACCUAGGUUUAUCGAAUAUUCACUUUAGUAUCUUUAGUUUUAAUUUUAUUACCGAUUUAAUGAAAAAAAUUAGUGGAAGGGAUAAUAAAAAAAAUAAAACCACGGAUACAAAAUCGAUACAUUUUAAACCAAAGAGUACCAAAGUGAGAAAGUACAAAUCCACAAGGGUGGUAUUUGACUUUUUUUCUCUUUUUAUUUUUUUUGUACUCACUAAAUUUUAACCUUUAUACAAAUUCAAAUAUAAAAUUUGGCUUCAUUCACUUGAAUAUGAACGUUACGAUUGAAAAUACAUAAGAAAAUUCAUCUGCAAUAGUCGGACAAAAUAAUUUCAGAUAAAUAUAUUUACCUACCUAAUCAUUUUUAUAACAAAAAUUAUUUUUCUUCUACAAAUACAUCCAAUCAAAUAAGAGCUAUACGUUUACAAUUGCUAUAUUUUCAGUCGUAUAUAUCUUAACUACGUACUGCAUUUAUAAUUACAGUUGAUAAAUUACUGUAUCUUUCGCGGUAUAUAUUUUUAAUUUAAUCGUAUUUAUGCUUACAUCGAGCUAAACAAUUCAUAUACUAUUUUAUUUUAUUUUUAUUCAUCAUCUUACUGUAAUCUUAUAAAUAUUAUAUUAAAAAAUCUUAAUUAUUUGUAUAUUAGGAUUAUCAAUAGAAGAAGUCAAAAAUAUUUAUAGAAAAAUAUAUUUGCAAAGAUACUCCUGUUGGGGAGAGAAAGUAAAAAAUCAAACCUUUGAGGGGUAGGGAUGCAAAAUAAACUUACUAUAUGUGGAGCAUUACUCUUCAUGAUUUGACACAUUUAUGUAGGUACAAUAAAUAUAAAGAAAAAUUACUCUUCAUGAUUUGACACAUUUAUGUGGAUAUAAUAAAUAGGCCAAUUUGCAUAAAAAAUCCACUUAUUUUGGGCUUUUGCAAAACUGGGCCACCGUUUUCGUUUUUGCAGAUUCGGUCCACUUUUUCAGCAAACUGACCAAAAUACCCUUUUUACUUUUUCUCUUUCCUCUUUCUCUCUCCUCUUCGUUUCUCUCGUUCUUUUUUUUUCUCGCCGGCAGAGCGGAGGCGGAAACGGUCCGUCUCGCCUCUCACCCUCAUUCUCUAGCCCUCGCCCUCGCCCUCGCCCUUGCCCUCGUCCACGCACCCCCCACCUUCCUCGCCUCCAACCCCGCUAAGGCCGCGCCACGACUUUUUUUUUUUUUUCUUUUUUCUUUUCUUUUCUUCUCCGACUCUUCUCCACCGUCUCCGACGACGAUGCCUCUCUCGUCCUUCUCGUCCUUCCCCGCCCUUCUCAUCUCUCCCUCUCCCUCAUUCUCUGCCGCCUCCGACGACGAUGCAUCUUCGCCGGCGCCGACGUCGACACCGUGGAGGUCACUGCGGCGCUACAGGCUCGGAGCGGGGGUCCUUAGCGGUGUCGUCGCCGGCACCGUGGCUGUUGGCAGAGAAGGUGACAAAAAAAAAUUAUAGAAAAAACAGAAAAAAAAAAAAAGAUAAAAAAUUAUAUAAAAAGAAGGAUGAACAUCAAAUUGUAUCGUUAACUGCAAAAAAAAUUAUAAGUUGCACUAUUUAAGAUGUAAACUGCAGCUUUAAGAUGAAAACUACACUCUUUAAACGAAAAUUACACUCUUUGAGAAAUAUUUACACUGUUUCUCUUCUUAUUACACUCUUUCAGAUGUAAACUGCAUCCAUUAAGAUGAAAGUUACACUCUUUAAACAAAAGUUGCACUGUUUCUCCUCUUGUUGCACCAUUUCUCCUCUUGUUACACUAUUUUUUAUCUUAAACUGCACCCUUUUAAGAGAUAUUUAUACUGUUUCUCCUCUUGUUGCACCAUUUCUGUGUAAAUAAGAGGAGAAAUAGUGCAACAAGAGGAGAAACAGUGCAAGAAGAGAAGAAACUGCACUGUUUUAAGAGAUAUAUAUACUGUUUCUCCUCUUGUUGCACCAUUUCUGUGUAAACAAGAGGAGAAAUAGUGCAACAAGAGGAGAAACUGCACUGUUUUAAGAGAUAUAUCUACUGUUUCUUCUCUUGUUGCACUGUUUCUCCUCUUGUUGCACCAUUUCUGUGUAAACAAUAGGAGAAAUAGUGCAACAAGAGGAGAAACAAUGCAAUAAGAGGAGAAACUGCACCCUUUUAAGAGAUAUUUAUACUGUUUCUCCUCUUGUUGCACUGUUUCUCCUCUUGUUGCACCAUUUCUGUGUAAAUAAGAGGAGAAAUAGUGCAACAAGAGGAGAAACAGUGCAAGAAGAGAAGAAACUGCACUGUUUUAAGAGAUAUAUAUACUGUUUCUCCUCUUGUUGCACCAUUUCUGUGUAAACAAGAGGAGAAAUAGUGCAACAAGAGGAGAAACUGCACUGUUUUAAGAGAUAUAUCUACUGUUUCUUCUCUUGUUGCACUGUUUCUCCUCUUGUUGCACCAUUUCUGUGUAAACAAUAGGAGAAAUAGUGCAACAAGAGGAGAAACAAUGCAAUAAGAGGAGAAACUGCACCCUUUUAAGAGAUAUUUAUACUGUUUCUCCUCUUGUUGCACUGUUUCUCCUCUUGUUGCACCAUUUCUGUGUAAAUAAGAGGAGAAAUAGUGCAACAACAGGAGAAACAGUGCAACAAGAGGAGAAACAGUAUAAAUAUCACUUAAAAGGAUGCAGUUUAAGAUAAAAAAUAGUAUAAUUUUCGUUCAAAGAGUAUAAUUUUUAUCUUAAAGCAGCAGUUUACAUCUUAAAUAGUGCAACUUAUAAUUUUUUUUGUAAUUAACGAUGUAAUUUCAUCUUCAUCCUUCUUUUUAUAUAAUUUUUUAUCUUUAUUUUUUUUUCUGUUUUUUCUAUAAUUUUUUUGUCACCUUCUCUGCCAACAGCUACGGCGCCGGUGACGACGCCGCUAAGGACCCCCCGCUCCGAGGCUGUAGCGCCGCAGUGACCUCUACGGUGUCGACGUCGGCGCCGGCGAAGAUAAAUCGUCGUCGGAGGCGGCAGAAAAUGAGGGAGAGGGAGAGAUGAGAAGGGCGGGGAAGGGCGAGAGGCGUCGUCGUCGGAGACGGUGGAGAAGAGUCGGAGAAGAAAAGAAAAGAAAAAAGCAAAAAAAAAAAGUCGCGGCGCGGCCUUAACGGGGUCGGAGGUGAGGAAGGUGGGGGUGCAUGGACGAGGGCAAGGGCGAAGGCGAGAGCAUGAGAGUGAAAGGCCGCCUCCGCUCUACCGGCGAGAAAAAAAAAAAGAACGAGAGAAACGAAGAAGAGAGAGAAAGAGGAAAGAGAAAAAGUAAUAAGGGUAUUUUGGUCAGUUUGCUGAAAAAGCGGACCGAAUCUGCAAAAAUGAAAAAGGUGGCCCGAUUUUGCAAAAGCCCAAAAUAAGUGGAUUUUUUAUGCAAAUUGGCCUAAUAAAUAUAAAGAAAAAAUUGAAAUAAAAAUAUAGUAGCAUAAAUUAAUCAAAAAAUUAAUGAGCUGUGACAGUUCCAGGAGAAAAUUACAUGAAUGCCACUCCAACAACCUCUGCAAAUCCUACCAAACCUUCACAAGUUACAGCAUCUUGUAACUUCAAAUACAAUCACUAUAAUUUUACACUUUUUAAUUUUACUACCAUUUGAUUUAAAGUGUAUUAAUUUAAUACUCUGUGAUUUUAUUUUUCUCUUUUUGUCACCCCCUUCGUUAACUUUUUGUUAAAUCAUAUACAAAUUUUUAGAUACCCCAACUAUAGUUUAUCGAAUAUUUAUUUUAGUACCCUUUAGUUUUAUCUUUGUCACUGAUUUAAUGAAAAAAAAUUAGUGAAGGGAGAACGAAAAGAAAAAAUAAAAUCAUAGGGUAUGAAAGUGAUACACUUUAAAUCAUAGGGUACUAAAGUGAAAAAGUGUAAAACCAUAUGGGUGGCAUUUAAAAUUUUUCCUUAAAAAACGAAAAAAAAAAUCUUGUUAAACUAACAUAGAACCCGAACUUUGCAGUGAAUAAUUAUUAUUUUAAUCAAUAUAUAUAUAUAUAUAUAUAUAUAUAUAUAUAUAUAUAUAUAUAUAUAUAUAUAAUAUAAUAUAAUUAUUAAGAAUUGAAGAUUGAAAAAGUUAUAACUUAAAAAGCACAGUCAAAAUGCCUAUUAGAGUAUAUAUAUAUAUAUAUAUAUAUAUUAUGAGAAAUCUAAAUAUAAAAUAUAUUUAAUUUGUACUUAUGUGAAUAUUUCAUACAACAAAAGAUAUUAAAUUUAUUCUUUUAAAAUUAGUUCUGUAUCAUAACAGUUACUAACUCUACAUUAGGAGUUUAUGCGUCAAAUGAAUAUAUAUAAACAUAUCUCAACUAUCAGCCAUUUUGAAAUAGGUUUUUCAACCUUUUUUUGUUAUUUUUAUUUUAAUAUUUUAGAAUUAUGUGCUUUUGAAUUUUGUGAUAGAAAAAUCUAAAAGAGAGAGAGUUGUGAGAAAGUUAGGGUUCUCGAGCAUAAUAAUUACCUAGAAGAGAAAAAAAAGAAAAAGAAAAAAGAGGGGAUAGAAAGAGAUCUUAUAAGAUAUGAUAAAAAGAGAGGAGGAGAGAGAGAAAGAGAAUGAGAGAAGAGAGAGAGAAAGAGAGAUAUGAUAUGAUUGAAAAAUCAAACAGAGAGAAUUGUGAAAGUGAGAGUUAGGAUCAUCCUACAAAAGAGAGAGGGGAGGGGGGAGAAAGAGAUCUUAUAAGAUAUGAUAAAAAGAGAGGAGGAGAGAGAGAAAGAGAAUGAGAGAAGAGAGAGAGAAAGAGAGAUAUGAUAUGAUUGAAAAAUCAAACAGAGAGAAUUGUGAAAGUGAGAGUUAGGAUCAUCCUACAAAAGAGAGAGGGGAGGGGGGAGAAAGAGAUCUUAUAAGAUAUGAUAGAGAGAAAGGAGAGGGGAGAAAGAGAGAGAAUGAGAGAAGAAAAGAUGAAGAGACUACCAUGUAGAGAGAACGAAGGAAAGCGCACAUACCUCUCGCUAACUACAUCGGAUGAUGAGCACUCGCAUCGAGGGGCAGAGCAGAGUUGCAUUCAUCUAAACUCAGAACCACUGCUCACAGCACCCCGAACAUCUACCGCUUUCGAUCUGAUACCUCUUAAUUCAGAGAGGAAAUGCGCACUUGUAUGACAGGAACCAUCAAAUUAUAUAUCGUAUAGAUUUUUAUUUAAAAUUUUAUUAUAUGAAAUAUUACCAACUUAAGAAAUGUGCGCCAUACCAUAAUAAUUGUAAGGGACAUUUAAAAAAUUUUCACACUAAUCCAAAACUUUUACCCAAAGUUUGCUUUUUCUCUUUUUUUUUCCAAAAUAUUAAAAUAAAAUAUUUAGCAUUUCAAACUUUUAAAAACUACUAUAAUUUAGUAUAUAUAUAUAUAUAUAUAUAUAUAUAUAUAUAUAUAUAUAGUCCGGCUACCAUACUAUCGAUAGUACCAAGCAUUUGGUACUAUUGAGUUUUCUACCGUUAGAUCUACCCUCUGAUCAGUUCCACCCGUUAGAUUAUAAUAUUAAACCAACCACUCACUCAAUCCUAGGGGACCACUAUCAAUUUAACCGGGGACCACUAUCAUCCUAACCGCACAUCUUUUCAUCCAACGGCCGAAAAUUCAAUAGUACCAAGGACUUGGAACUAUUGAUAGUAUAGUAGCAUAAUUCUAUAUAUAUAUAUAUAUAAAGAGUUAGGCUGAAAUACUAUUAAUGGCAUAAUUAAGCUGUGGAUACUAUCCGAUUUUUAGCCGUUAGAUCUAUUUCUUUGAUUAUUUUUACCAUUGGAUCAAUACUUUUCCAUCAACUAUUAUUAAAUCCUAGGGGACCGCUACCAUGCUAAUCCUAAAAUUUUUCAUCCAAAAAUUAUAAACUUUGUAGUAAAAGAGCCUAAAUAUUAUUAAAAAUUUUCCAUCCCAACUCUAUAUAUCAAUAUCAGUUUUUUAUAAGUUAUAAAUCCAUCAACCUCGAUGUCAUUUUAUAUUUUUAGUACAUGCCACAUUUCCUUUUUAAUUUAAUUCAUAUUACCAAUUAGUUUCAGAGUCUUUCUCUAAUUAUAACUUAGAUUAUUGGACUGAAAAAAAUUGUAAAUUGACUGAGCAUCACAAUUUGCAAACACGCCAAGUACAACCAACAUUUUUUUUCUUUCUUUUCUUUAUAACAAGAUUAAAGCAAAUCACUAUAAAUAUUUGGAUUUUGGAUUUUCAAAUUUCCAAAUUAAAAGUUCAAGCACCAAAAUUUCGGUGCAAUUCAACCCCUUGUUGGCCAUCAACUGGUGCGUAUCAACCAUACAAAAUUUGUAUUUAAACACACGAAAAAAUGAAAAAACAGCAACAAUACCAACCGAGACCCAGCGCCGAGAUUUUGAUGUGCUUUCAAAAUUGGAGCUCACAAUACAUGCUCAUAAAUUACAGCGCAGAUACUCUCCUCUCUCUCUCUUGAAAAAGAUUCAAAUUUGUCAAAUUUGUCACAAGAAAUGAAGAAAUAGCUCAAAAGUGGCAGGAAAGGUUCUUCCAAUCAAUUUCAUUUACUGUUCUUGAGAAAAAGAAAAGGAAGAUCAAUCAAUCUCUUGUUCCAUUCCUGGGACCAGAUGAAUGGUAAGGUUUAAUUUCCGUCUUUCUCGAUAGACCAAUCAUUGCACACUAAGGCGGGGCGGAGAACAAGAGAGAAGCAUUGGUCCCGCCGAAGCCAAAAGAGUUGGAAAGCGCGGCUCGUAUUUGCAUCGUCUUCGCGGCGCUUAAGGGCAUGUAUUCUCCUUCGAAAGCCGGGUCCGGUCUCUCGAGAUUGAGUGUUGGAGGAGCAAUCCCCUGAAACCAAACACAUCGUAGUAAGCCGUAAUUAAAAUUACUUCAAACAUGGUGCCCUUAAGAGCAAAGCGUAAAAGUAGUAAAAGAAACAAAGAAGAGAAUUUGCUACAGAUAGUUUUGUUGCGGGUCACAAGGCAUGCGAAGCAACUUAGCUUGAAGAAGCUUCGAUCGAUCAAUGGUAGAAUAUGAGUCGAGCAUAGAUAUGCAUGUUUCGUGAAAAUAAUAUUUUAUUUGCUCAAUAAUAAAUUACCGUUCAAGGUUGAAUGUUACGAGGGCGUGCACACACACACACACACACACACACACACACACACACACACAUAUAUAUAUAUAUAUAUAUAUAUAUAUGAUUUGCUUCGUACGAUUCACGAGGAGUUGGUGUUCUACUACAAAUGGUUUUUUUUGAAGAGGGGUAUUUGGUAGGUACAAGGCUACACGUGCAAGAGUUAUGGAAGAGCAUGCAUGAAAAUUCAGUUUUCACAGAGAUAUAUGAAUCAUAAACGAUUUGGCAUUUAUCUAAAUUUCUCUAUUUAUAUAUUGUAUCGAUGUUUUUUAUAGCUUUAUAUCAAUCAAUGGCUUACUUUCUAAUUGUAAAACCUUUUCCCCUGCAAAUAAAUUUCAGUCUUAAGGUUACACUUAAGCAUCUAUAUAAUUUUAUCUUGGUUUAUACUUUAUGGAUAAUACGCACACAAACAAAACACGCCAAUAAGAGAGAGAGAGAGAGAGAGAGAGAGAGAGAGAGAUGAUUGUUCAGUGAACAUACAUGGUGGAUAGCUAGGACAGUGAAGAUCGCUUCAACAGACCCGGCUGCUCCAAGUAGAUGACCAGUAGCCCCCUAAAGAUUAUUUCAAAAAUUAGCGCGUCACGCAACUGCAGAGCUAAAGGAAAAAAGGGUAGAGGCAUCAAACACUACCUUUGUGGAGGACAACGCUAGAGCACCUGAUGUUGCAUGGUCUGAGAAGACCGACAUGAUAGCAUGGGCUUCUACUGCGUCACCUAAAGACAGUGGCAUCUCAAACAAUAAGCGAAUUUUGCUUCGGCUCAAUUUUAAUCAACAAAGAGAACUUUAAAGCACUCAGUAAAACUAUUUUGUUGUACAGCAUGAAACUGCUAUGCAUCUUACCUAGAGGAGUUGAUGUGGCAUGAGCAUUUACGUAAUCUACUUGACUUGGAUGAAGCCCGGACUUUUACAUGCAACAGUAAAAAGAAAAACAAAAAACAAAAACAAAAAGAAAAAGUUACGGCCAUUUUGCACAAAGAAGUCCAUUAUUAUUAUUAUUAUUUUACAGUUUUCAGCUAAAAUAUACUUGUAUGGCAUAAAAGCCUUGUGGCCAAAAUCAUUGCGCAAAAGUCCCAAAAGUUGAUCGUUCACAAUAUUUGAUACAUGAUGGUAAUCUAAGAUUUAGAGAGAAAUAAAUUGCUGUCAAGUAUUGUUCUGCAAAUAUAAGGACUAAAUAAGAGAAAGUUGAUUUAACGAAUACACAUGCCAAAGAAAUCUGAAGUAAUAGAAUCACUUCUUCAGGCUAGAUAGAUAUGCAUAGAAAUUGUGCGGCUUAUAUUGUUACAGGCAGAGGAUUCCUGCAGUAGAAUAUAAUACCUGUUCUAAUGCCCGCUUCAUGGAUAAAAUAGCACCCUUUCCGUCACUCUGUGGUUGAGUUAUGUGAUGAGCGUCGCCUAACAGAAUCAAGUUCAUAAGAUCACAAAUCAAGGGACUGAGAAAUGGUAGAACAAUCUAAACUUUUUAUUUGAAAUAGAAGGAUACCGGACAUUCCAUAUCCUCGGACUUCUGCAUAAAUUUUCGCUCCUCGUUCCUUUGCAUGAUCAAGUGACUUUUUACGAGGGCAGAUAUGCAAGUUCGUUCGCAAGGAAGGACAAAACAUUACGAGAGGAAACUUGCCACAAAGAAAAACAGAAGAACAUAGAAAAGGACACUAACAAUAAGUUUAAUACGAUCUGCUUCUCUUGGCUAAUGUGCCGAUUUGGUCUGGCAUGUAGCAGGUUUUCGUAAUCCAAGAAGCAGCCAUCAAAUGUUUGGCAAACAUAAAUCACAGAGUUUUUGCAGCAGCAGAAAGCCAAAAUGAUUUUCUGAGCCCGAAAAUAGAAGCUCUAAUCAUAAGCUUCUGUUCUGCCGCAAUUGGAAGUUGUAUCAAAAAGGGCCAUUCUAAUGAAAAAAUCGGUAGUACUUUUUCGAACAACUAUACUUAAACAGCAAUUCUACAAAAGCUAUAGUCAGGUCAAAUGGGCUCUAUUUGAUAUGAGCAUCGUGUUCUAAUUCAGCCCGUAAAACUCUCUGCUCCAGUAACAUCGUAAAUCUCCUUCCGUUGGACCUUUUAGACACUUCAACUACAUGCAUAUGUUGUCAAAAGUCCAACCAACAAAAGCCAAUCCCAUUUAUUUCUGAUGCCCUAAUAUAGCCCCUGAUAAUCAUUUUAUAUGAUAAAGAAUAUAGAAAGCAACCAACCAGACGGUACAGUUUAGAGACUUUCCAAAUAGGAGAUAAAAUCAAGUAAUCAAGACUAAAUAACAACAACAGGAACGAAAAAGAAAGAAAUCUUUCUCAGAACUCACCUCCAACACCAUGACACCGGAACCUUCACCAAUCCUGGUUAGCCAUGAUGUUUUUGUACAAAUUAUAACAUAUAAAAAAAUACAAUAUAACCAAUAAAGAUGAAGAGCAACAAGAAGGCAAAGCUUACACGAAUCCAUCUCUACCGCAAUCAAAUGGUCGAGAAGAAACUUGAGGGAGAGAAUUGUACUUUGUACUCAAUGCCCUCAACCUACAUAAGCAAGAAGCACAUUGUAAAGCAGCAGGCCGAAAUAAUUCCCCAAUACUUGCAUAUAAUACCGACAGAAGAACAUGGAAAGGCAGAGAAGUGAUGUAGAACAAAGGAUUUUAUUGCUGUGUGACAAAUUUACAACAAUCAAUCUUGCUACUAAAAUUGAUGGUGUUUACAGAGCUCUGAAUAUCAUUCUGUUGGUUACCUAGCAGAACCUCAACGAAGCAGCUUCAUGUAAAAAGAAAAAAAAGAAAGUUGAUGGAAGGGAAGAAAAGCGAAGGAGGGAGCUAUACUAAAGUAAAGAUUUCUAGAAGCAAUUGUAGCAAAGUGGGAAAAGAAGGGCAUAGAGGGAUAAGAGUUUUAGACAAGCUGAACCAGCGACACUUGCCUAGAAAAACCAGCAAUUGAUAGAGCAUCAAUGCUGGACUCGGUUCCUCCAGCAAUCAUAACAUCCGCAUCUCCAAAUUGAAUCAUCCUUGCGGCAUCGCCAAUAGAGUGGGCCCCAGUGGCACAGGCUGUCACAGCAGCAUGGUUUGGACCCUAAAUUAAAAGAUAUGCCCUUUCUAGAAUAACAUAUAUUACCAAUUUCAAAGCACAUUUUAUAAAUUAGACAAAACUAUUCAAUGAAUAAGCUUGAUUGUAAACUCACUUGGAAUCCAUACUUCAUGCUGACAUGCCCCGAUGCCAUGUUGAUCAAUAUCCUAGGGAUGAAGUAUGGGCUAAGCCGACGUAAACGCUGUGUUCACGAAGUGAAGAACAUAAUAUUAUCCACCAAUAUCACGAGUGCGGUAAUGAUCCCAAAUAGGCAAGAAACUAUACUUUGCACAAAGAGCAAACGAGAAACAUAAUCUUGCGACAAGAAGAGAAAAAACACCUUUUCACAAAUCAGUUGUGACGCAUCUAAAAUGUCUGGGAUGCUUCCAAUUCCCCCACCAAUUGAAACACCCUGGUGUUUCUCAAAUUAGUGUACCAAAAAAAAAGUGAAAAUGAACCGUACUUCCACGUUUCCUCGAAAGUAGAUAACUACCGUUCUUUCUUUCUUUUCAACUUCAGUUGGUAACCAGUUUGCAUCUCUAAGAGCCUCAUCAGUUGCGCAUAGCGCAUAUGCUAUAAAUCUGGCUACAGAUUUAUUAUCCUGGGCACAAAAUUCAAUCAAUCAACAUAAGAAAACGUAUAAUCAGGGUGAAUUGGCGAUAUCUGUGGAAUCAUAAGGCAAGCAUUCACUGUUGUGAUUGUCAGAGGAAGAAAAUAACCAAUUCACUUUCACUUAAACAUAUAUGACACAUCACACAUCAUAUGACCCUAAGUAGUUAAUAAUAGUUAAAAGGUCAGAAACAAUGUUAUAGACGUAGAGAGUCCAUUGAUUUAAACAUUACAAGAACUUAGAAAGAGAGUGAGUGGUGAAUUUCUAAUAAAUGAAUCACAUUAAGCAAGUCAUUUACUAUGGCAUAUUAGUCCAUCAUGCAUCCAGGACGUUGCAAUUAAAAAAAAAAAAAACCAUAUAAUGAGUAAUUCGAGUAGCAAAAAGAAAAUCAGAUAUCAUGACUAGGCAGCCGGCACUAAAACCCAUGAGUUGCCUAGACAGUCGGUUAACAAUAUCUAGACAUAGAAAACAGCACAUGCCAAGAAAUGGCUAAUAAUAAUACAAUUUAGGUAAGGGAAGUACAAGAAGAAUGAAACAACUUAAUGCAGUUAUUAUUACAAAGGAGAUUCUGGAGCACCCAUAACAACAUUUAGGGGCCGUUUGGUUGCAUGUAGUUGCAACUGCAUGGCGGUUGUAAUUGAAUGCAAAUGCAAAUUUGGUGUUUGGUUUGAUAUAUUUAACUCUAACUACUGCAGUAGGAACUGCAGGAGGAGGUCCAACUGCAGCAGUUGGAGAAAAUAACUUUAAAUAAAAAGUAACCUUAUCUCUUUAAAUAUUUUUUAAACAAAAAAUAAUUUUUUUUUACAUUGGAGGUAAUAUCACCAUCAUAUAUAAUAAAAUUUUAAAAAUUAUUUCUCAACUACAUGCAACCAAACAAAUUAUUUAUAGUUGCAGCGCUUCUACUACACCCAACCAAACAUGAUGUAUGUAGUUAUAACUACUGUAUUUCCAACUGUAUGUAUCUCCAACUACACUGCAUUUGUAAUUACAUCUAACCAAACGGCCCCUUAGAUGUGACUGAAAUGUUGCCUCCAAACCCCAACAAUGAACUACAGCAGGCGAAAAACAUAUGAAACAUAUCAUUAACAAUUCCACACAAAAACCCAAUCUAGAUUAGUAUUAAACAUUGCAAGAGAGUGAAGAAGAAUGACUGCAGUAAUGACUUCUCUAAGAACAACUGUUCCAGCAUGGAUGCUAAUAGCAAAAGCAUGGAAGAAUCAAACUGAUGCAAUAAACAAAACCCUAACUCCAAAAUUCCCUUUUUCACCUUACACUGCUCUCCAAAUCAGGAAUUACAUUGAAAAAGACAAAACUCAGGUCUCAAAAUUUCUCAUCGUGCUCACAGAAACAGUAGAACAAACAAAUAACCCAAGACCUAUAUUAAAGUAUCAAAAAAAAAAAAAACCCCUAUGAUUUCUUGUUCCCAAUCCAAAAUCCCAUCUUUCACCUUAUAUUGCUCCCAAAAAACAGAACUUUAGAUUGAAAGAAAUAAAAUCCCAUUUCCCGAAACCCUAAACCCUUAUCAUAAACGACUAAGCCUCAAACCCUAAACCUAAUUAACCAUUUUUAGUGAAACUUAAAACGAAAGGAAGGCUCAACUAUCCAAGUAUCAAACAAAAACCCUAGUGAGAUGUCGUUUAAACCUUGGAUUGGAUCCACGCAUCCUCAUCGAACUCCCCCUCCUCCUUGCCGCGGGGGACCGCGGCGGCGACCUUGGAGGGGAGCUGGUCGUAGGUGUGCGCCACCGCGGCCUCAUCGAAGCCGUCCAUCCGGAGAUCGGACGGCGCCAGCGCCCGCACCCCGCACCGCCCCUCCACGAGGGCGCGCCACGCGGGACCCACCCCGCACCCCAGCGGAGUCACCGCUCCCAACCCUACUUUUUCAUUGCUCGUUGGAUCAGAUGCGAUGGGGACGGUGGAGACCGAGAAGAGGAUUAGGGUUUUGGAGGGGAUUAGGGUUUUGGAUACCUGUCACCACGACGCGGCGGAGGGGGGCGGCGCGCGGCGGCGGAGGGAGCGGCGCCGACGAGAAGAGGCGGCGGAGUAGCUUCGCGGUGGUGGCGCUCAUUUUUUUUGGAUUUUUUUUUUUUUUUAGUUUAAAAUACAUAAAAUUCUUUAUAAAUAAAUUCACAAUUUCUCACCUUUGUUUUGUGACAUUCCAAAACCUUUAUAAUAUAAUUUACUUAUUACAGUGUUAACGAAGAAAGUAACAUAAUUAAAUUAUUCUUGUUUAUUAUUAUAUAAAUAAAAAGUAAUUUUUAAAUAUAUUUUUAUAUUUUUUAUAUUUUAUUCCGUCGACAUUUCAAGUUCGAGUUGUUGCAUUUAGCCUCCAUUUGUUAGGAUUUUAUCGUUAUUUCGUCCAUUUUUUAUAAUUUAUACUAAAAAUAUUUUUCAAAAUAAUAAAAAUAUAUUAAUUUUUUUUUUUCUUAUAGAAAAAGUAAAGAUAAUUUGAUCAUUUUUUUCUCCAUAAAUGGCUUAAUGUUGUAUCUUAAAAAAUAUUUUUUAAAAUUUUAAGAGAACAUAAUAUAAGCUUUUAAAAAUCAGGAAAUGAAAGUAAAAAGCGAAUAUUUAUAGGAGGGUUUUAUGUAAUGUAGCCUUUUAUAUUUUUAAACUUCUUUUAAAAUAUAUAUAUAUAUAUUUAAAAUUUUAAGUUGGAUGUAUUUAUUUAAUUCUUGAUUCCAUUACUAUUUCGUUUAUUUUUUAUAAUUUAUAUCAAAAAUAUUCUAUAAAUUUUUAAAAAUUAAAGAGAAAAAGUGAAAAAAUAGAUAUUUAUAAAAAAAAAAUCUAUAAUUUAGCCAAAAUAAAGAAAAUGAGUAUUUAUAGAAAAUUUUCUAUAUUUUAGCUUUUUUUUAUAUUUUAUGAGAAACCAAAGUAUGAGAAAGUAACUAUGAAUAUCCCACCACUUACUAAUAAUUUAUUCACAAUGCUCCAAAUUUUUUAUAUACUGUGUUGAGUAACCCUAAUAAAUAGAGUAGGCAAUAAACACAGCAAAUUUAAGCCUAAAUAGAGUAAGCAUAUAUAGCUUUUACAAUACCAUUAUUGUUCAAACAAAACCAACUAAGCCAAAAACAUAACACCCUAAAAAUGUUUUGGGUCAACUUGAUGUUGUUAUCAUAGAGCUACAAAACAUAAGCAGCAGCAGCAGCAGCAGCAGCAGCAGCAGCAGCUAGAACCAACUUUCAAGCAAACAAGCUCAUGCUGCUAAGAAGACCCACAGCAAACCACACUAGCCAGUAUGCCUUCAAACCGGCCGAGCCUGACGGCUUGGGCCCCUCUGCGAUUGCCCGAGUAACGGCCGGUUCGACCGCCUUCUUGGGCUCACUAGACUCGGGUCGGUUCGCCACAUCGACGUGCAACUUGAGCCCGUUUCGGCAGUUCUCGGGCUUGCUGCUCGUGAAGUAACGGGUCCCCUCUUCUUCGAGCCUCACCUUGUCGAGCCCGCCUGUGUAGAGCCUGAUCGGGUUGGUUAGGUCGCAGGACUCGAACUCGUCGCGGGUCCGCAGCUCUACGAUGCUGUCGCGUGACGCGGAGUACGCGAACCCUGCCGAGAAUGAAGUUCAAAUGCUCAAUAAAAUUAUAAAAUAUUGAGUGGUUCCGCACGCAACUUCUACGGAUUCGAGCGAGGGUUAGAGGCACACAAGGGAUAUCUGAGAUAAGAUCAUGACUCUCGAUUUCUAAGUUUGUGACCAAAACAAGCCAUACCUGCUCGAUCUCAACGACAAUCAACGGAGCAAACUCUUUUACACAAAAAUAUAAGUGUUUAGAAUUGGUUUUUGUAGUCCCCCUUUGGCAUUCAAGAUUGGAUAGGAAGGAUACAACGACGAGAGCAAUGUUGCGGGAAAGGGAGAGUUCCGCAGCUCGAAUCCACAGUCCAAUUACAAUCCCAUUCAAUCUCAACCUCUAAGGUGGAUUCGGUAAUUAAGUUCCGCGAGUUUCUCUAGAUAUGCAUCCGAGUUGCUAAACUCUAUUAUCUUCGACCUUCCAAUCCAAUCCUGGAUGCCAAAACAAACGGACGAGAUAUAUAUAGCCUUCAACUCGAUAUAAGCUAAUUUAUAAGCGGCAGCAAAUAAGCCGAAAGCUAUGGCUCAACUAUGUAGCAAACAAACAUCAAUAUGUAAGUGUCUCAACUUGGUCCUACCAAGAAUCUUGAUACAGCUAAAUGACAAAACAAAAAGAAAAUGCGACAAAUCACAUCCUUAAUUAGAUAUUUCCCAUAGGGUUUUUAUCUGGCUUUUCAGCAAAAUAGAUCUCGCACGUAGAGUUCAGCACCUUGGUUGAUUUGUUUAUGAAUUAUUUGCGAGUGUUAACUAAUUAUACACCAUUCCUAGUAUCUGCCAGAUAACUUUGACGUAUAAAUCUAAUGCAAUCUCAAAUCAGUAUCAUGUAAAGUCAAGAACAACCCAUAUUAAUUCAAGAAACUCAACUCAAUUGAGACACUAUUAGUUUAGACACCCAUAUUUAUAUACCUGUGUAGGUGUGGUAUACAUUUUUGAGCCUCUUCGCCCUAAAAAUUUUAUACCACAUGAAGUCAAGUCCGAUCAAAAUGACGCGAGUUCAGAGCUCUUCAUUUAGUGGAUACGCCUUUUUCUUUUAACUUGAUAGGAUGUGGGACUAAAGCGUAAGUUGGAAAUGCAUUGCCGAAAUACACCCACUUUGAUGCUCAAGAGGGACGAAGAACUCCAAAAGCACUUUAGAGCUUUCCUCCUCCGAUGUUAUAAGAUGAGGGCAGUUACCACCACUAAUUCAUCGCAUCGUCGGAGGAGGAAAACCCGAAAGCACUUUCGAAUUUUUUUUGACCCCCUAAAGUAGAAAGGGGGUGUAUUUGGACUGCUAAAGAAUGUGAAACAACCGUUGUUCCCCAAAACCUAAAGCUGUUAGAGAACAUUAUCUUCGUACUCGACCACCAAAAGAAACUCUAAGGAUGUCCAACGCCUCAUUCCUUUCUCCAUCUCUGCCAUCCUCAGACUACCGAGGGGCCAACCCUCCGCCACCGACGGAGAAUGCUAGAGGUCAACAACGCGGUGGCUCCCCAGGAGCCCGACGGCGUGGGGGAAUGUGGAACAAUCAUUAUUCUCCAAAAGCUUAAACGGUCAGAGAACGGUGUUUUAACAUUUUAUAUCAGUAUGGCCACCGCACUCUCAAACUAGACCUAAUUGUUGGGCCUUGGGAGACGCGCAACUAGGGAUUGUAAGAACAGGGCAGGUCAAUCACCAGCAAGUUCAUUUGUGAAUGAGGGGGGGGGGACAUUAAAUAUUGAUAGGUUAUGCUCAUAAUAAGAUUUUUCAUAUAACAGUAUAAUCAGUAGAAAAGGCCAAUAAGCUUUGUUCAAAGUUGUGAACUUGAUGCCUAAAACUAUAUCACUUAGAAGUAGAUUAUUACGUUGUGCACAGUGCACUUCCUAUGUUUCUUGUUCUAUUUGGCUUAUUCAUAAUUCUGGAAGGAGAAAAUAAGUCCACAUCAGAAGCAUUAAAAGUUACAUUAAAAUGCUACCAGACAUCUCGAGUAAAAUCCUCUGAAAUUAACAAAAAUGAUAAUAAAUAAAUUAAAGGGGGAAAAAGAAAGUGCCUCACACAUCCUUGAACUUCCGAACUUCGAAAACAACAUAAAACCGUCCGAACAAUCUUCUUUCUCUUUCUUUUGUCCGGUACAUAACAUAUUGUUCAGACGAUUUCAUGUCAUCUUUUAAAGUUCAUGAGGUGAUCUCAAUUCGCGCUAAAGUAGGCGAAUUUGUGGCUUUUUCUCACCCUAGAAAAAGAACACUCUGUGAAAGAGUAUUUGAAGAGCAUAAGCCUACUCUUUCACAAGUCUUAAAAAACUACGACUAAUUCAACAUGCAUGUAUAUGUAUAUAUAAUAAGAUCUUCUCUCUCUCUCCAAUCAAAUAUUCAUACUCAUCCAAACAGAUCAAAUCAAGUUAAAAUCUCAUCUCAUAAGAUAUUAUAAGUAUUUAAAUUUAAUUAAAAAAGGCUCUUAAUCACUCAAAAAAUAGGUAAAAUUUUUCAUCUCAAUACCUCCUUUUGCAUUUCUACUUCACUUCCUCAGUGUCAUAAAUUAAGUUCAUAAGUGUCAUUAGUUUAUUAACUAGAUUAUGUUCUUGUCCACAAACCCUCACAAACAUUGUACAUAUAUAUAUAUAUAUAUAUAUAUAUAUAUAUAUAUAUUAUAAGAGAGAGAGAGAGAGAGAGAGAGAGAGAGAGAGGGGUUCUUACAGAGGUGAUUCUCCAACCAUGAAGGCCCUACCAGAUGGCCCAGGAGGAAACAUCAGAGGAGGGAAUCCACCCUUGAUCCCACCAACACACAUGAUGGACCACCCCUUCCCGUGCUUCCACUGCAGCCCCACAAAACCCUCCUAGACCCUGAAACCCCUAACCCUAAGAUUUAGACCUCCAUUGGUUGCACUGCUAGUAGUAAUAGCCCAAGAGAGAGCAGCAAGGAGUGUAGGGCAAAGAGACCAGCCAUGGAUGAGAAGCAACAAGAAAGGGGAGUCAGGAGGAGUGUGGUGGUUGGGUGGAUUGGUUGGUUGUGUGCCAGUGGGGCUUCAAAGAAAGGGAUUGUGUGGGAGAGGGAUAGUGCUAAAAACCCUACUCUCUCCUCUCUCUCUCUCUCUCUCUCUCUCCUCCGCAGGGACGGUAGACUCGAAUCAAAACCCACCCGAACCCAAAUUGAUUAUAUAUAUAUAUAUAUAUAUACAGCUUGGCUGGUAUUAUAUCGGGCCUCCGUGUUACCAACUUGUUUUCAAUGAUACGCGCUUCCAAAUCGACGAUUGGCUUCCAUUAGACUGAUCUACACAUAUUAAAAAUAUUUGAACUAAUUUCAUAAUUUUUCAGCAUCAUUUACUAUCAAAUGAGUAGUCUAAAAAUGAACGCUGGAAAUAAAAAUCUUAUAAAAAAUGAUAAUAAAAUACUUAAUUUAAGAUCAGAGGUAUUGAUCUUUACUCAAUAGUGAAAAAUUUUCUAUAAAAAUUUCAUCAGAUUUAGAUUGUUUUACACCGUUAAAUUCACACGCAUCAAUCUACCAUUAAAAUUUGUCAUUUUGAGACCUUUGAUCACUAGCCAAAUGAUGUCAGAAAAAUUAUGAAAUUUAUUUUCAAAUAAUUUCAAUAGUGUAGACCAAAUCAAACGAAUCGAAAAUUGUCAAUUUGAGACCUUUUGAUCACUAGCCAAAUGAUGUCGAAAAAUUAUGAAAUUUAGUUUCCAAUAAUUUCAAUAGUGUAGACCAAAUCAAACGGAAUCGAUCGUCGAUUGAAAGCCGCAUCAUUGAAAAAAACUUGAUAGCAACGAAGCCUCCGUGCUACCGAAAAUAUACCGACCUAUGCUCAUAUAUAUAUAUAUAUAUACGUUGAGCUGUAAUACUAUCGGAUAGCAAUCCCACUUUUGCCACGCCAUUUGUUUUCGUGAUGGAGCCUCAAAAUCGACGAUCUGCACCGUUGAACAUGAUCUAUACACUUGAAUUGUUUAGAAAUCAAAUUUCAAAUCUUUUCGACAUCAUUUGCCUGAUGAUCAAAGGGUUUCAAAUUUGUAAUUUUAAUGGCCGAUAUGAGGCGUUUCUCGUUUAACGGCGUAAAGAUAUCCAAUCAAUUGAAUUUUUGUUAGAAAAUUCUUUAAAACGAUAUUAAAACAAGAUCUAUACUCUUGAUCUUGAUUACAAGACUCCUAUCAUCUUUUUUUAAAAAUAUUCAUUUCAGCCGUUCAUCUUUGUGUCACUCGAUGAGUAAGAGAACAAUAUCGAAACUAUAUGAAAUUUGAUUCUAAAUACUUCAAAUGUAUAGAUCAUAUUCAACGAUGCCGAUCAUCAAUUUGGAGGCUUUAUCAUCGAAAACAAAUAGGUGGCAAAAGUGCCUGAUUUGUUAUCGAUAGUAUUCUUAAAAAGCUAACUAUAUAUAUAUAUAUAUUAUAUAUAUAUAUAUAUAUAUAUAUAUAUAUAUUAUAUAUAUUAUAAUAUAGUAUAUAGAGCUAGGCUGGAUAUACAUCGGUAGCACGGAGGCUCCGUGCUACCAAGUUGUUUUCAAUGAUGCGGCUUCUAAAUCGACGAUCGACUCCGUAGACUUGAUCUACACUAUUAAAGUAUUUGGAAACUAAAUUUCAUAAUUUUUUCAGCAUUAUUACCUUUCAAACGAGUAGUCUAAAAAUGAACGGCUGAAAAUGAAAAUCUCAUAAAAACAGUGAUAAAGAAUUCAAAAUUCAAAUCGGAAGUAUUGGUCUUCGCUAUUGAUGUUAAUAGAAUUUUCUAUUAAAUUUUCAUCUAAUUUGGAUACUUCUAAACGUUGAACCUAAAAACGCAUCAAUCUACCAUUAAAAUUGUUAAUUUUUGGAACCUUUUUUUGAUCACUAGCCAAAUGAUGUCGAAAAAUUAUGAAAUUUUGUUUCCAAAUACUUUUAAUAGUGUAGAUCAAGUCUACAGGAGCCGAUCGUCGAUUUGAAAGCCGCAUCAUGAAAACCACUUGGUAGCACGGAGGCCUCCGUGCUACUGAUAGUAUACAGCCUACUCUAUAUAUAUAUAAUAUAUAUAUAAUAGGCUGGAAUACUAUUAAGUAGAAAAUGAUUUUUCGCUAUCAAGUUUUAACCCUUGGAUGAAAAAUUGUAGGGUCAGAAUGAUAUUAAGUCGAUUAGAGUUGAGUGGUCCCUAGGGUUGAGUGGUCCCCACUGGUUAUAGUAUUUAAUCCAAUGGUUAGAAAAUAAUGAAAAGAGUUAAUCCAAAGGCUAAAAACUGUAGCAAUAAUGAAAUUUUGCUACUAAUAGUAGCCCAGUCCAACUCUAUAUAUAUAUAUAUAUAUAUAUAUAUUAUAUAUAUAUAAUAUAUAUAUAUAUUAUAAUUAGGCUACUAUGCUAUCUAUAGUACUGCAGCUUCGGGUACUAUAAUCUUGUUUUCGAUCUUAGGGUGUUUAAAUUAACGAUCCACACCUGUAAAUAUGAUCUGGAUAAAUGAAGUUCUUAGCAAUCAAAAUUUUAGUUCGACAUCGUUUACUAGUAAUAAAUUAUGUCAAAAUGGACGGUAGAAAUUGAAUAAUCUUUAAAAUUUAAGUAUAGGACUUUUAAAUUCAAGAUCAAGAAUGUUAACCUUAAUCUAGAUAGUUUAAAGUAUGUUCUAUCAAAAUUUGAAGAAAUUUAGAUUCUUGUACACCGUUAAACUCCAAACUCGUCAUAAUAGCCAUUGAAAAUUGACAAUUUUGAAAUGGUUUUGAUCAUAAAGUAAACUAUGUCGAAAAAAUAUAAAAUUUUAUUUUUAAAAACUUUAAAUAUCCUAAAUCAGUUUUGACGGUGUGGAUCAUUGAUUUGAACACCCGAAUAUCGAAAACGAUAUUAUAAUACUAGAGCCCCGGUACUAUAAAUAGUAUAGGAGACUAGCUCUCUCUCUCUCUCUCUAUAUAUAUAUAAAUAUUUGAUGUUAUAUUUAAAUUAAUAUUUUAUAAAUUUAGAUUAAAUGUAAUAUAUUUUGAAAUAUUGUAAAGAAAAAUAGUUGUGUCAGGUUCGUGUUUUCGGGUUCGGGUAUUAGAUUUUUGGUCGGAUUCGAAUUUGUAUAUGGAUUUUUAAGAUCCGCCAUAUUCGGGUUUGAGUUCGGAUUUCGGGUUUGAUAGUUGAGUUCGGAUUCGAAUAUUAUAUUUUCGCUGUCUGUCGAAAAAAUCUAAAUCUGAAGAGUAAUUUAUCUGAUACUAAAUGGAUAUAGUUUCAGAUAUAGAUAUCAAAAAUAAAAAUCUGACGGAUUUGAAUUCGGGUAUGGAUUUUAACUGUAGUACCCAACUCGAAUCAAAACCCGACCUAAACCCAAAUUGAUUAUAUAUAUAUAUAUAUAUAGCUAGUCUCCUAUGCUUUCGAAAGUACGGAAGCAUCCGUACUUGUAAGUUGUUUUCAAUAAUGGAACAUCCAAUUCGGUGAUCGGUUCCGUUAGACAUGAUCUACGCUAUUAGAACUACCUAGAAACCAAAUUUCAUAAUUUUUUGACUUCGUUUGUCUAGUAAACGAGUAGCCUCAAAAUAAACGGCUAAAAAUAAAAAUCUCAUAAAAAACAGCGAUAAAGGACUCAAAUUUCAAAUCAAAAGUAUUGGUCUUGCUAUUGAUAUUAAGUAGAAUUUUCUAUUAAAUUUUCAUCUAAUUUGAAUACUUCUACACCGUUGAACUUAAAAACGUGCCACAUCGGCAGUUAAAAUAGUCAUUUUUGAUACCUUUUGAUCGCUUAGUAAAUGAUGUCGAAAAUUAUAAAAUUUGGUUGCUAAAUAGUUCCAAUAGAGUAGAUUAUAUUUAACGGAGCAGAUCGUCGAAUCAGAUUUCCUAUCAUCGAAAACAACUUACAAGCACGGAAGUCUCCGUACUUUCGAAAGUACAGGAGACUUAAUAUAUAUAUAUAUAUAUAUAUAUAUAUAUAUAUAUAUAUAUAUAUAUAUAUAUAUAUAAAAUUAGGCUGGAAUACUAUUAAUAGUAAAACGCUCUUUUUGCUAUCAAGUUUUUAACCCUUGGAUGAAAAAUUGUAGGGUUAGGAUGAUAUUAUCGGUUAGAGUUGAGUGGUCCCCACUGGGUUAUAGUAUUUAAUGCAAUGGUUAGAAAUAAUGAAAAGAGUUGAUCCAAAGGCUAAAAAUUGUAGUAACAAUGGAAUUUGCCUACUAAUAGUAGCCCAGUCCAACUCUCUCUCUCUCUCUCUCUCUCUCUCUCUCUCUCUCUCUCUCUCUAUAUAUAUAUAUAUAUAUAUAUAUAUAUAUUUAUGUUAUAUUUGAAUUUAUAUUUUAUAAAUUUAGAUUAAGGGCGUGUUUGGUUCGUUUCUUUUUUACCAUGGAAUCGAAAUCGGAAUAGGUGAAUCCGUUUGUGGAUGUUUGGUAUGCGGGAGUCUCAUUCUGAUUCCGAUUCCUGAGUGGAAUGGGAAUCCCCCAGUUCCAUUCCGAUUCCGAUUCCCGAGUGGAAUGGGAAUCCCCCAUUCACUUUUUUUUCCAAUCCGGCCUAAAAGGCCGGAUUAGAAGUUGAAUUCGGACAGAAUGGAUAUUUAUUCGGAUUAAAUUUAUUUUUUUAACUUUUUAAAUUAAAAUAUGAGUUUAAAUUUAGAAAUUAAAUUUUAAAUUUUAAAUUUUAAUUUGAAUUUGAAUUAAAAAUUAAUAUUUAAUCAAGUAUUUUGAAUCUAACUUAUAAAUUUUAAUUUAUAUAAAGUUCUAUUCAAAUUAUAUUUAAAACUUAAAUUAAAUUUAUGGAUUCAAAUUAAAAUUUAAAUUGUAAUUUGAAUUUGAAUAAAUCAAAAUUUAGUUUUAUAUUUUGAAUUAUCCACUCAACUUCAAAGUUUUAUUUUUUUAAAAAAUAUAUAUUUAAAAUUUUGACAUUAUUUAAAAUUUUGAUAUAAAUUUUUAAUAUUUAAUUUCAAUUUAAAUUUAAAUUAAUAUAUUAUAAAGAUAAAGUUAGCAUAUUAAUUUGAUUACGUUUUUUAUAUCUAUCUGAACCAAACACCAACAAUAGAAAUGAUUUAUUUCGAUUCUGAUUCAGAUAAUGAACCAAACAGAAUUAGGUAAUGAGUUAUUCCGAUUCUGAUUCCAGCUUAUUUCGAUUCCGAUUCCGAUUCUGAUUCCAACUUCAAACCAAACGCGCCCUAUAUGUAAUUGACUGAAUAUAGAUGAUGCAACACAAUUCCUGUAUAGCAGGCUUCCUCCUAUUUGGGGCGGAUCGGGGUGGGUGCUCCAUAAACUCGGAUCCAUUUGCAUCCAUUUGAGUUUAUGGUUACAAUCAUAGUUAGUUACUUUGGAUUCGACAAAAAUCCUGUAAAGGUAUUAAUGCGAAUAAAAUUUGUAUUUCAAUUUAUAAAUUCAUUGAAAAAUACGACUUAAAAAUGGGUUCGUCUAUUAUUAGGAUAUGUGAUUUAUAUAGAAAUUGUACGUUCACCAAUUAGAAAUUCUAGAUAAAAAAUUCGGCUAUUAAAUUACAAUAUUUUAUCUAAAUUUAUACUAAUAGCAUAAAUAAUUAUAAUUUUUAAGAAUAUAAAAAUAGAGAGCUACAAAAUAGAAUAGAUUAAUUAAAAAAACUAAUAGCAAAGUUCAUUGUCGUCCUCAUCUUCAUCUUUUUCAUGAUCUACAUAUUCCAAACAUUCAUAAAAAUUUUUAAUAAUUUGUCAAUAAUUCGUGAAUUAAUUAAUUAUGCCGAAGAAAGGAAUUUUAUCCAAAAGAUCUGCUUAUUUUUUUUGGCCAAUUUACGAAUAAUAUAUCUAAUCCAAAAAUUUACAUUUUAUUCUUAUUUAUUUUUUAAAAAUCAUAUACAGAUCAAAAAUCAAAAUAAUAUUUGCCACCACAUGAUUUGCUGUAGUGAAAUUCUCAAUUUGGACUGCAUAGACUCAACCACUGUGUGCCUGCUGUCGUCGCUCUAUCUGGUGCGGGCGCUGAAGCUAGACCUGGCAAUCUCGACCCAUACCCGCGGGUGCCUGCGGGUUACCCGCAAAUUUGCGGGUAUGGGUACCAACUUUUCAAACCCAAAAAAUUACGGAUAAAACGGGUGGGUACCCAUUAAGCUGUGGGCAUUUUGGGUAACCUGCGGGUACCCACGGGUACCCGCUCAUAUACUUUUUAAUUAAAAAAUAUAUUUUCUUAAUUAAAAUACAUAUAUUUUUAUUUAUCCAUCUUAAAAAUUCUAACCCUAAUUUCUUACCGCGUCUUUUAUAUUACGAAAUUUUUUUGUUUUAAGACUUUAAAUAUUUUUAUUGUAUGUUAUGAUAUUUUAAAUAAUGAAUUAUGCUAUAUUUUUAAAACUUAUUUAUAUGCAUUUGCAUUUAAAAAAUAUAAGAGGAAAAAGAAAAAAAAAUUGCGGGCAACCCGCAUACCCAUCUGCCCACCCGCGGGCGGGUAUGAGUAAAGAUGUUGGCUAUCCAAAAAUUUACGGAUAAAUUUUAUCCAUGCCCAAAUAACCCGCGGGUAUAAUGACCCGUCCACGGGUUACCCAACCCACCCGUUUGCCGGGUCUAGCUGAAGCCCUAUCUGCCUAGCUGUAGGUCGGUGGAGCUCCGGUCAUCUGCCGAGAUAUGGAAGGGGCCAACACUGUCAUUCUCGAAUGUGUUUCCCUCUGAGUUGGCUAGGGCUGUAAACGAGCCGAGCUCGAGCGAGCUGGAGCCAGCUCGAGCUCGGCUCGUCGUCUUCAAGGUCGGCUCGUCUUCGGCUCGAGCUCGUCACGAGCUCGAAAACGCCGGCUCGUGAUCGGCUCGCAACUUAUUCGAGCUGGCUCGUGUUCGGCUCGAGCUCGUGGCUAGCACGAAGGGGAGGAAGAAUCAUAGCGGCGAAAGAAGGUGGCGGUGAGGCAGGGGUGGCGGUUGCGGAGAAGGGCGAAGAGGAGGGCGUUAAGGGAGCGGGCGGAGGGGCGGGUGUCGAAGGAGGGGAGGGAGAGGAAGAAGCAGAGAGCGGCUGGGGCAUGAGGUGCGGCCAAGGGCUCGGAUCACAGAUGAGGUGGACGAAGGUGUCCUCGCUAUAGCAGAGGGGAAGGUGAUGCGGCAAUGGGUAGGAGAAGGAGAGGAUGGGGGGAAGAAACGGAGGAGGGAGAAGAGGAUUGGGAGAGGCGGAGGUGCGGAUGAAGAGGGCGAGGCGGCGAGGUGUGAGAGUAGAGCGUGACGAGGGAUUGGGAAUAGAAAUAGUAAAAUUUAUUUCAUGGGCCUGGACUAUGAGUGAAAAAGGAGAAAUUCUGUAUAUAAAUGGGCUAUGGGCUUUUUUUUAUAAAUAAGCUGAGCUUUUUUUUAAAGUUGGGCUAAAAAAUUUAAAAUUAAUAAUCUAUAUUUUAUAUUUAAUAUAUAUAAUAUAUAAAAAUUAUAUUAAUAAAAAAAUAAAUAUAAUCGAGCUGUUAUCGAGCCGAACACGAGCGAGCUGACCCUAGCUCGUGUUCAGCUCGAUAACAGCUCAAUUACAUUUAUUUUAUAUUAAUAUAAUUUAUAUAUAUAAAUAUAAAUUAAAUAAAUUAUAUAAAUAUAAAAUAUAUGUAUUCGAGCUAUUAUCGAGCCGAACACGAGCGAGCUGACCCUAGCUCGUGUUCGGCUCGUUUACUAAACGAGCUGAAAAAUUUAGCUCGUGUUCGGCUCGUUUACUAAAUGAGCGAGCCGAUCUCGAGCUCAUUUCGAGCUGAACACGAGCUGGCUCGCGAACAGCGAGCUGGAUUGCCACCCCUAGGAUGUACCGACCGUCCCUAGCGCAAGUGGCAAAGUUUACGGGUUAAAAGUGUGGGAUGUACCAACUGUCUCUAGCGCAAGUGGCAAAGUUUGGUACCCGAGAUUUCAAGUUCGAAUUCUCGUUGAUUCACAUUUUCAACUAAGUUUAUUUCUAAAUGAAAUAAAUAAAGCGGGUAGCAUGCUGCCUAUCUCUCUCAAAAAAAAAAAGAGAAGAAAAAAGUGAGAGCGUGGGAUGUUAGAUGAGAAUCAAUUACAUGAACUUUUUAUGCAAUUGGGACGUGAGUUGUGAGUAUGUGGAGAAUUUUUUUUUAUUAAUUUUUAGAAAUAAAGAAACGAGAAACAACAAAGAACUAGUGAAAUGAAUUUUUUAAUGAAAGAAGAACGAGAAAUUAUUCCUUUGGGUUCUUUUUCAUUCAUCUGAAAAAAAAAGUUAGAUUUUAAUAAAGGUGUUUCGAAGAUGUAAGUAGGAACAAGGCUGGGUAGGAGGCGAGAGAGAAAGGAUCUCAACUCAACUACAGAUUGUGUCAGAUGGCCUCAGACGCAGCACUUCACCCUUAAAAUGAGAGGGACUAUCUUUAAUUUUUGUUGGGAAAACUUCAAAAACCCCCCCCUAUGGUUUCGUGCUUUCUCACUUUAGUACCCUGUGGUUUAAAACGUAUCAAUUUGCCCCCCUGUGGUUUCGUUUUUCUCUUUUUGUUAUCAAUUUUAUUAUUAUUUUUUUCUUAAAUCAGUGACAAAGUUAAAAUUAAAGGAUACUAAAGUAAAUAUUCGAUAAAUAUAGAUGGUUAUCUGAAGUUUUUUNAACAGCUUUUCUCCUUCACCUUCCCCUCUCUCUCUCUCUCUCUGUACAUAUCUCUUACCCUUUAUUCUCCCCCCACCCUCCUCACACGCACGCCCUGAUUCUUUCCUUCUCCUCCAAACACCAUCUCCAUCUCCUCCCCCCCUCAAUUUAGGGUUUAUACCCAUGGCGAGGAGGGUGCGAAUGUGUUCUUCUUCUUCUUCUUGGAGGAGUGCGAGGACGAGGAAGAGGGAGAGAAGAGGAAGCAAGAUCGAGAUCGUCUUUCGAGGGUCGGAAUCGAGAGGCGAUGUCUUCUUCCCGCGACACGCUGGAGUACGAGCCGACGUGGGUGGUCGCCGCCGUCUGCACCGUCAUCGUCGUCAUCUCCCUCGCCGUCGAGCGCUUCAUCCAUUACCUCGGAAAGGUCUUGUUAUAAUCCAUGCACGCUUAUUAUUAGAGUUAAAUGCAUCAAAACUAGCCGAACUUUCAGUUUGUUUGAUUUGAGUGAGUUGACGGCACUUUGAUUUCAAAAUUUGAGCUAAUUGCUUAUUUAAAUGAAUUUAUAGUCGCGAGAAUUGCAUGAAGAGAUAAAUGACGCAUUCAGAUUUUUGAGUAAAGUGCCGUUGACUGACUCAAAUCAGACAAAUUGAAAUGCUGGGUAGUAAAAUUAAAUUUUUGAAAGGUUGCGUGAUCAAUUCAAAAUAGUCCGUAGUUCAGGUAAGUUCUGCACGUUUCACCAAUUUAGUAUUUGGAACAUGAACUUUGAGAUGGUUGCAGUUAACCAUCCAGGGGACCGUUCGGCUACAAGUAAUUGCAAUUGGACUACAAUUUUAAUUGGAUACAGAUUCAAAUUUAGUGUUUGGUUUGGUGCAUUUGAACCCAACUACUGCCGUUGGAACUGCGUAAUGAGGCUCAACUGCGAUAAUUGGAACUAUAUACGCCCAAAUUUGGCUGUAGUUCCAACUGUAGCAGUUGAAGAUGAUAUUUUUAAACAAGAGGUAAACUUAUCUACUUAAGAUUAUAUUGGGGGUAAUCUUACCUCCCCAUGAAUGAACAAUGAAGUGAUUGAAUUUUGGAUAUACAAUUUCUAACUGCAUACGCCCAAACGAUUAUUUAUAUUUGCAGUGCUUUUCUACUAUAUCUAAUCAAAUAAGAUGCAUGUAGCUAUAUAAAGAUUGUAUUUUUAACCGUUUGUUACAAUUACGUCCGAUCAAAUGGCCCUAAACUUAUGAAUUGCCUAUUUAAAUUGACGGACUUUUUGACCCAAUGAUCAAUGGAUGCUAGCCAUAUAGAUUGUCUUCUUGACGCUACAGAUAUUAGAUUGAAUCUUUAGCAAUCAAAUACUAAAAUUGAUUUUUUAUAACCAGAUUGAGUUUUGACAUCAAGAAGGUCCUUUAUGUUCUUUAUUCUUUAUUGUCUCUUGACUAUUUCACUAGUGUUAGUCUCCUUAAAUUCAGGGAAUAUAAACUUGUGGUUAAUUGCAAAAUUUUGAAUGUUUGAGUGCCGAUGUACAAAAUUUUAAACUGUAGGUGACUGUUUGUAAAUGGGCUGAGGUUCAGGUGUUUCUGGUGCAUUUAUCGCUUUUUUUAUUGGUUAAGCCUACUGUAUUUUUCCCUAAGAGAGUUCAAUUGACGAGACAAAACUUAUGUUAAAUUAGCUUUCUAAAUGCAGUAAAGAGUAAAGUGAGCAUUCUACGUUUAAAUGACUACAAGAGCAGUGUGCUGUUUUUGCUUAUAAGUCUAAGAAAAAUGUCAUUAUUUAGUUUAAAUUCUAUGGAUUGUUUGUUAACUUUAUUUACUUGUAAAUGAUGCAGUUCUUAAAGAGAAAGAAGCAAGAUGCACUUGUUCGGGCUUUAGAGAAAUUAAAAGAAGGUUAGCAUGGUUUGAAACUGUACUUUCUUUUGUUUCAGUACUGUUUAGAUCACAGGUGUUAAUAUUUGCUAAAUGGAAAGCUUGCCUACUUUUACUUAGAGAUGCGCAUUUUAUCAUCAUUUAGACUAAUUUCAUGUUAAUUCUAUAAUUUGGUAAAGAGUCGUUUUCCUUCAUAAAUAUUUACACCGCCUGCUCCUAGACUCUUUUUGUGGCACUUGCUAUUAUUAAGUAACUUUUAUCUCUUUCUUGAUUAAAAUUUUUUAAUUGACUAGCUAAUAUGACCAGGAUUUAAUUGGAGAACUCGUGAGUAUUUCUAUUUCAACGGACGCUAACUACUCUGUAAUUUUUUUCCUUAUUUUAUUUUAUUAUUUAUGUUUCCUCUACCUAAAGGUUUUCUAGUUUCAUCUAUUUCACUGAGAGGUUCAGAGACGACUUUCCAGCUCCAUUAGCAGUUUGUGUGUUGGAAAAAGGAAAUUUUAAAAACUUUUAGGUGUUGCAUUGUUAGCGUCUCUUGUUUUCUUAUUAAUUAGGGCUUUAUGGUAAAAAGAAAGUUCGGCAUAAGAUUGUUUAGAACGUUAUGGGGUUGUUUUAUAUUUGCAUGCAGAGUUAAUGCUUCUCGGAUUCAUUUCUCUUCUAUUAACCGUCUUCCAAGGCCUUAUUAGCCACGUUUGCGUCCCAGAAAGUUUCGUUUCUCACAUGCUUCCAUGUGAGAAGGAAAGCGCCCUGCCUACACAAGAAACUUAUGACCAAUUAGGACUUUAUAAUGGGCAGAAGUGGAAUACAAGGAGGCUCUUGUCCGAAGUAUCCGGUGCUGACUAUUGCACAAGCAAGGUAGAAUUUUUGUGCCUUCAGGAAUCUUUUUUGUAAAAUUAUAAACAAUCAUUUAAAUAAAGGCAAAUAUCAUGAUUUUCACUGUGCCAUCUUGAAAAGUUGAGACUUAUUUCUACCCCCCCUUAAACUACAAGUUUUCUGUCACUUAUCCUUCCUCCUCCAGUGUUCCUUACUUGAUGUAUGCCACUUUGCUUCUUAAGAGGGUAAUGUAGAAGUUCUAAUGUUUCAGGGGACAAUGUGAAAUUUGUGCUAUUUAAUGGGGUUAUCCUACAUUCUAGCUUUUAAAAUUUCUUGCCUUUUUCUUUAAUUUUAUUAGCGUGCUUUCUGUGAUGCCACCUUACUUUGCCCAAAUUUAUACUUAAUAAAGAAUUAUAUGAAUUUCUGCAAAAGUAGUCUUGAUAACUGUCUUGAAGUUUGUUGCAAAUACUGUUCUUUUUCGUUUACCUUUUUUUAACAAAAUAGAGCUACUUUAAAGAGAAUAACUUGAGUUGGUUCAGUAUAGAAGUUGAUUUUCUACGUUUCCUCGUCCAUUAUUAGCAAGUAAGCUUUAGAAGCCUUUUCUACUACCUGCAUUUUUGAACUCAUUAAGACAAACGAGCAAUCUUCGUUGAAAAUUUAGGUUAAUCACGAUGCAUUACUUAAUUUAUUAUAAUGGUUUUGUACACAAUACUGAACCCUCCUGCUAGAUAUGCUUAGAAGGUCCUUUACAAUUUGACUGGCUUUAAGAAUGAAUUAUUUAUCUAUUUAAACUAGUUACAAUUUUCUUUAAAUGCUUUUACUCGAUCUGUACAUCAUCUUCUGAUUGUAGGACGAGAAACCGUUGUUAUCACUUGAGGCAUUACACCAACUGCAUAUCUUUAUCUUUGUACUUGCGGUUGUCCAUGUUAUUUUUAGUGCUUCCACAAUGGUUCUAGGAGGAGCUAAGGUAUAUCUUCGAGGCUUUGAGCACAAAUAACAUUGCUAGAGAAAGGAACCAAAGUUUUAUCUUUCUUUUUUUUUUUUUUGAAUUUUUUGUAGAUUAGACAGUGGAAGCAUUGGGAGAAACAAAUUCAGCGGGACAUCCCAAAACAGGAUAUAGGUAAUAUCCUUUUUUUUAAUGUUUUCUUGGUUUACUUUUAUUUAUGCUGUCGGUUUCUUUUCCUUUUCUUGUUUUUUAAAAUAGAAGCCGCACAAAAACCAGCAAGUGAACACCAUGAGUUUGUCAAGGAGCGUGCAAUUGGAUUUUGGAGAAGGUCGGCUGUUGUAAGCUGGAUCGUAAGUUAUCGAUCUCAGCUUGUAUGGAAUGAGACAUGUUGUGUAUAUUGAUUAAAUAAGUCAAUCAAUUUCUCAUAUUCUUAUUCUUUUCAAAGAGAUUAUUAAUUGUCCAAUAUGAACUGCUUUGCCUUACUUUCCUAUGCUUCUUAUGUGCUUGGAGAUGCUAAAAUGAGAACUCAAUUCUCUCUCACUCACUACAGAUCUUGGCUACACUUAGUCUUACUUUUUAUUGUCUUUUUUUUUUUUUUUUUACUUGAUAGAAUUGCUUACGACUGCAAUUUUCAACUUUAGUAUGGUUUAAAUUUGGUUGAAAAGGUGAAGUACUUGUUAGCACCGGGUGUCACUAUUUGGGUUGUUGACACGAGGGAUUGAUAUGCCGCUGGCAUGGAGAUUUUGUAUACCGCACUUCGUCAGAAGGACACUAUAAUUGCAGUAAAUGGCUUAAUUCCAACACUAAGAUUUGCAUCUUAUGUGAAAAAAAUGACAUGGAAGCCAUCAUCAAAUGUUAGAGAUACCCUUUAUUGGGUCUCAUUUCCAUACUAUUUUGCUUUUCAUGCAAACUUUUCGGUAUUAUCAUUCUUACAUAGGUCGAAAACUUCACCGGAUCAGAACAGUGAUAGGAAUAUUAAGUGAUAUAAGUUUUGAAAACCAUAUUUGAUUAAUAUAGGUUGGGAUAUGAAUCAAUGUCGGAUGUAUUCACAUCUGUUUCAAAUUUUGAUAAAUAGAAUACAAUCUAUAUUGCAUCAGCAUUACAUGGAACUUAACAAGUAAGGACUUGCGAAAAGGUAUGAACUGUAUACAUAAUGUUAUUAAGAGUUGAGCAAAAUCAUUCAAUUCACUAUUCAUCAAGAAAACUACAUUGUAAACAUGAUUCCUUGUUUGUUAACAUCUGGAAUAUCUUUUAGAGUGGUGGUUUUUGUGUUUUGUAGGCAAAUUGAUUUGGCCAUUUUCAUAGCCGCAAAAGUACCGGAUCAUCUGGGUGCUUUUUGGAAAAUAAUGCAUGCUAAAAGCAUUACUAAUAACUCUUACAUUUAUCUCCACCAUCUGCAAAUGAAUUGUGUUCAGCACUGAUAAAUCUGUUACCACAAAACAAAAUUUAGACAUCUAUUAUUUUGUUAAAGAUUUUAUUCCUUCAAAAUCUUUAUUGGUAGCAUCCGAUAAUGCCAGAUUUACAGAAAUAAUUCAUAUGUUCUUGAUCCUUUUUGAUUCUAGAUAUCCUUCGUCAAGCAAUUUCAUGAUUCGGUCUCGAAAUCAGAUUACAGAGCAUUAAGAGCAGGAUUCAUCAUGGUAAAAAGCUCAACAGCAUUCUAAAUUGUGAUCGUUGAUUUUCUUGUAUUUACUGCACAUGGUUUUACUAGUUGGAGAGGACAUUGAUGAAUUGUUUUAAUUUUUUUAUUAUAUGAGACUCAUUGGCCGCGAAAUCCAAAGUUUGAUUUUCACGACUACAUGAUGCGUGCUCUUGAGGAUGAUUUUAAAAAAGUUGUCGGCAUAAGGUAAUUUCCAUAAUAUGCAGCUUGCCAGAUAUUCCUUGUUGAAAGUGAUCUUGCUUUUAAGGGAGGCUGGUAUUUUGAACAUAUGAAUUUCAUUUGCAGCUGGUAUCUCUGGCUCUUUGUCGUCAUCUUCCUGUUGCUGAAUAUAAAUGGUAACUUAGAAAUAAUGGUGAUUUUUUUUUUUUUUUUUUUUGAGGUAAGAAUUUGUGCUUAGGUUUGAGUUUCUGUCUACUUACGGUCAAGUUAAUGAUAGAGCUUCUAGUGCUUUUCGUGCAAUUUUUGUAUGGUGUCGGAAAUUUUUAUUUUUUAUUUAUAUAUUUAUAUUUUUUUGUUAAUUGAAUUGUGACCUGGGCUUUUAAAUUUUUAGCCAUAGUGAAAACUUAAUUAUUCUUCCCUUGCAGGAUAUUAUGUUUAUGAGGCCAAAGUGAUUUACUACAUUGUGAGAAAAAUGAAUUAGAGGCCAUAUAUAGUGCAGUUAGAGUUGUUGUCAUCUUGAUUAUUCUGCUUUUUUUUAUUUUUAUUUUAUUUUCCUGAACAUCUUUACUUAACAAUAUGACUCUCUUAAAAGAGUUGAAUAAUCGCUUUGCUGAUAGAAGUUGUUUGGUGCAAUAGAGAUGUAUUUGAUAACAAAUACAUAAUUGCUCUCUCAUUUUAAUGGAUCCUUGGAAUGGCAAUGGAAAGAUAAAUGAGCGGUAAAUUAAAAACUAUGAAUGGAAAUUCUGAAUAAUGAAUUUGAUAAGCAUCGUAACUCGUGAGGUUUGAGUCGAAAAUAACCUUCCACUUAAUUAACGUAGUUCAAUACGAUUCAGCUAUCCAGAUUAAGGUUUUCUUUCUUUCCUUGUCCUUCAGAAAAUUUCUCAGAUCAUACGUGGGAGACGGCUAAUUAUAGAUUGCAUUGGUCGCUUUGGAUAGUAUCUCUAUAUUUAAUAUUUAGUUUUGCUGGAAAAUUUUAUUAUAAAUACGUAUGUUUCCGUCAAUCCUAAAUUGGUGUAUUUUAUGUUAUGGUUGCGCAGUCCAAUCUAUUUCAUAAUUUAUGUUGCAAUGCAGGUUGGCACACAUACUUUUGGUUAUCGUUCUUGCCUCUUCUUGUAAGUAUCGAGAGCUCUGUUAGAAUAUCACUUCGUUUUUUAAGUAAUUUACUCUGCCAGUGUCUCUUUCGCUACGAGGUUAUAGCUUUAAUUGCAAGUUGAGCUUUUAUUUGAUUUCCAAUUUUCAUAAAAAAUCAGCAAAAAUAUGCUUACCUGUACUAUGGUGCAUUUUCAAAUCGGGAGUCUAAAUUUCAGAAUUUUGAUUUAAAUAUCUAGCCUUACAGUAUAUUUGAUUCUAAUUGCCUCUUCGAGUCAAAACACUAACAGUACUCUUUUUUUUAAACAAAAAAACAGAAUAGAUUGCAGCCUAACUGAAUGUUCUGUUGCUCGGCGGAAUAUUGUAUUUCUUGACAGAAUUUUCUGUAACCCUUUUUAGGGGAAAACGUUUAGUUGGACAGAACUUGACAGAAUUUUCUCAAGUUAUAAAUACUAAAAGCUAGAUAGUAAAAUCAAAAUUCGUCGAUUUCUGGUACCCAUCUCAAAAUGUGUAUAGGUCAGGUGAGGAAUGUACAUUUCUUUUACCUAACUAGUAGAUUUUACACUGACUCGAAGAAAAUUGUUAGCUUCUGCUCAUAGUUGGUGCGAAGCUAGAACACAUAAUAACUCGGUUGGCUCAAGAGGUGGCGGAGAAACUAAACGAUAAAACACACGACGCACUAGGAGUGAGAGUGAGGCCAUCUGACGAGCACUUCUGGUUCCAGCGGCCCCGCAUCGCCCUUUACUUGAUCCAUUUCAUCUUAUUUCAAAACUCCUUCGAGAUUGCAUUUUUCUUCUGGAUAUGGGUAAUUGCAUCGGGGAACCUCACCUGGGGCCUGUUCGCCUUGAAUGGAGCUUCUGCAGAAGUGCUUUUUGUGAUAAAGAAUAGUUCUAAGCACUUACUCUAUUUUGUAAUUAAGAUCCAAAGCUUCCAGCUAUAUCAAAAGCAAAAGUUUCAAAUUUUAGCUUAUGCUUUUGGCCUGAAAAGCUCAAAUGAGCUUCCCAUUUAAGCAAUAGCUCUGGACAUUUUCGUUGUCCGGCACUUGGCUAUUGCUUCUUGGAAUAGAGAAGCUGCUCAAGAAGCCAAGGCGAAUAGGCCGUCAAAUUUUUCUUGAAAUACAUGGCCACUGAUCGUUCCCUAAAAUUUUGCAGACCACCUAUGGAUUUGACUCGUGCAUCAUGGAAAGUAUUGGCUAUCUCAUCCCCAGACUCGUUAUAGGGUUUGUGACUUUUAAUUAUGAGAACAGGAAUUUUAUUUUCCUAUUCGUCACUAAGCGACAAAAUAGGAUUCUCACCUUUUUAAUUUUUCUUUUUAGCCAACAUUUAAUCUGUUGUUUUAUCAAUGGCAGCGUGCUCAUACAAGUGCUCUGCAGCUACAGUACUCUUCCUUUGUAUGCCAUUGUCACUCAGGUACUUAACCCUACGUAUUAUUCGGAAAUCAAAAUUUUCUCUUUCUAGAGCUUCCACAGAAGUGUAGUUUGAAUAGAGCUGGUCAUCGAAACUCGCUGUGGCUUCAAGCUCUUACUACAAACUUUAGAUUUUUCAUUUGUCGAACACAUAGCUUUUGCUUUUAUAAUAAAGAAGCUGUUUCAGAAACCAGAGCUAAACAACCGCAUAUGGGGCAUUUGGUUUGAUAUAAUUGAAUUUGGCUGCGAUCAAGUUUAGUAAAAGUGGAAAUAUUAGUUUAGCCAUUGACCACCGCGAUACUGAGGAGAUCUGCUUCCUAGCUGUAAGCUCAAUUUCUGAAAAAGACCCAAACUCAUCUUUCAAGAGAAGUCCCUUCUACGAUCACUUGAAUUACUUCCGAAUUGCAAUAGCAUGGAUCCAACUGUUAUGAAUGUGAAUGUUUGUUGGGUCUUACUGACAGAAUUUUAUUGAAUUUCAGAUGGGCGGCACGUACAAAGCCGUGAUAUUCAACGAGUCCACAAAGACACCCCUGCAGGAUUGGGCCGAGGAGGUGCGGCAGAGAAAGAAAAGAUCCAGUCUGCCUUCUCUGUGGGGACUCUUUCGGCGGAAACACAAGGAGCAGAGUCUUUCUGCCACGGAGGUUCAGGUGGUGAGGAUGCAAUCGGAAUACUCCGGAAUUUCUCGUAACUUUCGUCCACCAGCUGAUCUAGGAGUGUAACAAACCUCAACAGGCGAAAACUCGAUCGCAGAAGCUGACUAGCGAAAGGGAGGCAAGAAAGCUGAGGUUUAGGACAUCUACACUGCAGAGGAGACAGUCAGUUGUAUAGGGCCGCGAAUUAUCGGCAACUAAAUGAUGCUUUUGUUUAUCGCAUAUCGCAUAUAUUAUAUAUAUAUAUAUAUAUAUAUAUAUAUAUAUCUCACAUAUAUUAUAUAUAUUAUUAUAUAUUCUACUAGUCUUGUUUUUAUGUUGGAAAUGAAAUUGUAUUUGCUUGUUUGAUGGAACCAUGAUGGUGAGGUGAACUCUUGGGCGCUAAUGUAUGCAAUUUUAAAAAAAAUAACAAUGGGAAUUUAUGUAUUUUCAUGUGGCUAUGGACUGUACUUUCCAGAUCUUCUGCAUGGGAUGUUGAUGCUAUGGAUAUCUAAAAUCUUAUCCGACCCUGAAUCCGAAUAGGGUGGAUUUUAUCUGGUGCUAAACGGAUAUGGUUUCAAAUACAAAUAUAACAAACGAAAAUCCGACGGAUUUGGAUUCGGGUGUAGAUUUUGUCCCUAUCCGAUCCGAAUUUGAAUCCGACCUAAAGCCGAAUUGAUUUUACAUUAUAUGAUAUAUGUAUGAAUGUUUGGUGUUAUAUUUGAACUUGUACUUUAAAAAUUAUACUUUUAAUAUAAUAUGUUUGGAGACAUGGUAAAGAGGUAAUUAUUUCGGGUUUGGGUUUCAGAAUUUUAGUCGGGUUUGAAUAUAAAUUUUCAAAAUCUGUUGGAUUCGCAUUCAAAUGUUGAAAAAUUUGUCCUGAAUCUGACCCAUUGGUAUCCCUGCUACUGCACCUGCAGUAUGGUUUAUUAAUCUUGGGGAUCAAUGCAAUGCAUUUACACCCCUGUAUAUUAGACUCUGUCAAAGAAUACCCUAAACUUUUAAUUUCAACAAUUAGAUUUUCUAAACUUUAUUAAAUUAUGUAAUUGACGCUUCCCCUGAAGCAAAUGUGCUAAUUAGAUGGUCUUAUUAGUGGUUAACAACUAAUAGAGUUAUUAAAUUUGAUAAAAUUUUCUAUCUAAUAUAGCAUAAGAACUCGAAUUUUUUAAGAGGGGUCUCAAUCAAAAGAAUAGAAGCUGAUGGGCCAAAUCAGACUUACUGAUUCUUGAGGGGUCUCGGUACAUUUUUACCCAGGAAAGGUCUUGCGUUCUGAUUGGCUUGGUCCACAGAUUACGUGGCACACCCGGUGCAUAAAGACCUUUUCCCUCUCAAGCGGCCGUGAGCCAUGAACCACCCCCCACCCCAAACCCUUCUCUCUCUCUCUCUCUCUCUCUCUCUCUCUCUCUUCCCCUUUACGCUAAAACCUCCUCUCUCUCUCUCUCUCUCUCUCUCUCUCUCUCUCUCUCUAGGGCUCCACCUCUGCCCCAGGAGUGGAGAUCGGCGGCGGAGACGGCGGGACUCGCCCUGGUUGUGAUUGCGCUGUAGGUUUUCAUCGACGCACCUAGCACUAAACCCACUUCAAAACCCUAGCCUUUUCUGUCCAUUUUUGCGAUCUUCUUAAAGCAAAACGAUCCUUUUUACAAGAAAAAUGUUGUUUUCCUGAUCAAAUCUGACCUUAGUAGUCGUUCUCCGUUUGGAUUCUACUUGUUCCUGCCUUUUCCUGUAUCUCCUAUGACUAUUUCAUGGUGUAUUCGUUGAAUUAAAUUGGUUAUAAUCUAAGUUAGGGUUAUAAUUGGUCGAUUUGAUUGAGUGUAUAUUAUUAUAAUGUCGUUCCCUAGUAGCUUAAGCUUUUAUGGUUGCUUUCAUUUGAUAUCUGAGAAGUUUGAAUCUUUUUAGGUUCCUAGUGUGAUUUAAUUUUCUCUGGUUUAAUGUAAGUUAAAAGUGUGAGGCUAAUUUUGAAUGUAAUGGUUGGAUUCAUUUUUAGGUUUAGUUUGGUAAUGCGGUGGAAGGCCCCCAAAAAUCUAAAAGUAUUUUUAUACUAUGAAGUUGUGGUUGCAACUGCCGCCGGAGAUCCUUGGUUGCAUGCUUCUCCGAUGACGGUCUCCAGUGGUGGUUGCCAGCGCAAUUUUAUACCAAAAGGAGAAAAAAUUUGUAGCGCUUUUGGAUAUUUUUUGGACCUUUCAAAAUAUAAAAGCGGUGGCUUUAGUCACCGCAUUACCAAACUAGGUCUUGGAGACAAACGGUUGUUUCACAUGACAUUAGAGUAGGAGGUCUCGACUUUUGAAUAUUUUUUCAAUUUUCUGGUCUCAUUUCAUCUUCUUUUGUUUUGCUGCAAGUUCACAUUGUGGGCCUAACAAAGAAGUGUCAGCAUCAGGGGUGAGAGAUAGUGUUGAAUAUAAAAUAAUGGAAUAUCUUUCUACAGUAACUUGAAAUUUUAGAGGGCUAAACUUCAAGUUGCUCCCCAAUGGUUUGGCUUAUUUUUCACUUUAUCACCAUGUGAUUCAAAAGUUGCUCUCAACUGUUCUGUGGUUUAGCUCAUUUUCACUUUGCCACCUUGUGGUUCAUAAAGUUACACUUAACUACUCUUUAUCAAAAAAAUUUACUUUGCCACCCUAUUUGAUAGUAGAUUUUUGGAAAAACUUUAAUUUACACCCCUGUGGUUCAGCGUAUUUUCAGUUUGGUAUUCUGUGGUUUGAAGUGUUUCACAUAGCUACCUCGUGGUUUUACUUUUAUCUUACCGUUAAGAUCCGUCGUUAAGUAGGGUAUUAAAUUGAUAAAAUAUAUAAACUACAAGGUAGUAAAUUAAUAUAUUUUACAAACCACAGGGUGGCGAAUUGUAGUAUUGUACUAACCUAUAUUUUUAUAUAGCCAACUUGUAGUUUGCAAAAUAUAUUAAUUUCGUACCCUACUUAAAAAUAGUUCUUAAUGGUGAGAUAAGGUAAAACCACAGGGUGCAAGGUAAAACACUUUAAACCAUAGAGUACCAAACUAAAAAUGUGCAAAAUCCCAGGGGGUGCAAAUUGAAGUUUUUUCUAGAUUUUUUGAAUAAAAAUAGAGAUAAAAUCACAGAAUAAUGAAGUGCAACUUUUUGAACCACGGUAUAACAAAGUGAAAUGAGCUAAACUUUUUUUUUUGGGGGGGGGGGGGGGGGUGCAAAUUAAAGUUUACCAAUUUCAGAGAAAAAAAAUUGUUUCUCGAACUCUGAAAUUAGGGUUGUUUUAAUUGAUAUUGUUUUGGAUCCAGCAGUAAAGAAGCUCUUGAGAUCUCUGAUGAUGGCGAGAGGAGUUGUGGGUGAGAAAUGGUCACAGCGGAUUCUGUGGGUAUGCGCGAUCGGGAGCGCAAUAAGUAUGUGGUCUUUCAUAGGAAAAUUAAUUUUCAUUCCUAUUUCAGAUGAUUUUUUUCAGCAAUUCUUGUGUCUUUCUUUGUUAAUAAUUGUUCGUCUUGAUUGUGUAGGCUUGUACUUUGUGGCCGUGGAGAGGCAGGCGCAGAAUCGGGCGCGAAUGAUGGCCGAGGGUUUGAAGAGUGUGGAUGGCUUGUCGAGCCAUUCCGGUGGUGAGGAUGUUUGAAGGUGAAUGCUCAGCAAUUUAGUUAAAAUCUUUGUCUCGUGUCCUAAUCACUAUUACAAUACAAAUUUUUACAAACAGAAUAAGGAUCAAAGGCGCACUUGUAUAAUAAUUUUUUUUUCCUAAAGGCGCACUUGUAUCUGUUGGGUUUUUUGUAUCAGCUGUUAUUUUAAAUGUUCUCUUAAAUCUUUAUUAGCAGUUUUGAAGGCUAAUUCUAUUUAUAUUGUUGAUGAUACUUGAUACACGAUAGUAUAAAGUAUUUGGAUGCUUACCUUCCGGCUGAACACCAUGUGCCCUGAAACAUGAGGAGGGCUGUCUUCUUUUGUUCACUUACUGGGAACAAAAUUCCUUUAUUGGAAUUGUUGAUGUCUGUUUGAUCACAGAUGUUUUUAUUGUAAGUACGUUGGGCCUAGUCAUUUUGAAGCAAUAUAAAAUCAACUGCUAUUGUAAGUUACACUGCUGGCUUUACUGAAUUCAGAGAGUUUCUAAUGGAUCUGAGGAAAUUGCUGUAUGUUUUUCACAUUGAACUGCUUAGAAGAUAUGAAUAUGGGAAUUGUUUCACACUUUUGGUAGGUAAGUCAAUAAUUCUGCAAAUUCCUCUGUUGUCAUGAGAUAUUUGAUCAUAUGUUUGAAUUGAUUUUCAGUGUUCGGCGUGAAUAAAUUUUUAUUACUAGGACAAGAUGAUCUUAUUUAGAAUUUGAAGAUAUCUUCGAAUUUGUUAUUGAUGGUCAAUAUAUAGUUUGCUCGACCAUGUUAGGAACUCCUGUAAUAUGUACCAUGAUAGAUUAGCUUAGGUAGCAUGAUUUCGAUAUUGUCGGUCAGAACUGUCAAUUAGGAGGCUAUGGACUAAAAUGCUACUGAAAUUCUUCCAGCUUGAUCCUUAAAUGGGUGUCUUGUAAAACUCACCAUUUUCAUUGCGUCAAUUAUCUAGUUCAAUUAUUAUGGGAAAAUCACAAAGGAUAUUCAGGUGAAUGCUAAUUAAUGGGAUUCUACUACUACUUCGCCAUUAUGAAUUUAUGAUAGUUGUUGCAGAACAAAGCGCAGUUGAGAAUGAGAUAUUUACAUAGUGAUUCUCAUGGCUACAAUUUUUUUUUUUUUGAAAAUAAUGGUUGUGUUGUUUAGGAGACUUUGGGUGGAUGUUGCUUUUAUGAGAAAUUAUAAGCAUAUAGAAUCACGAAGAGAUGGUUAAGUGGGUCAUGUUACCCAUUUUACUGAUUUGUAGUGGGUCAUGUUACCCAUUUUACUGAUUUGUAGCAUAUGGGAUGGCAUUUCUGGAUGUCAAAAGCGGUGAUGAGCAUUUGAUUAGUUUUUAAAGAAAAUUAAAUAUUAUUGUAAUUUUUGAAAUGCUAUCCAUUGCAACCAACCUGGAAAAUGCCAACUUCAGAAGCCAAAAAUGUGGAUAUCAUUUCAGUUUGAUUCGUUUAGUUCGUAUGGGUUCUUUCUUUGUUGGUCCUUUCUAUUCAAGUUCUGUCCUGUUUUGUAAAGUUUUCUUUAGUGUGAUAGCAAUGGUGGUUAUGCAGUAUUUGAGUCAGAUUGAGGCUCCUUUACAGUUAUUAUUAUAGCUGUCAAUUUUUGCAUAGAUAAAUAUACAUACUUGAGUUAAAUAUAUGUAAAUACUGAAAUAGAAUAUGGUUUAUUCCAGAUUUCUAUAUAAAAAAAUGGAUAUACAUUGAAAGUUUUUUCCUAUGUGAAAAACAAACCAAAGCAACUUUGUUAGAUUCUUUUAUUGGAUUCGUUCAUUACCUUCAUCAUGCAAGUAUUAAAAUGUCUAGAUAAUGAUAUAACACAAUGAGUUAUGUAAGUUAGGGAGUAGUACCUUUAUGUACGAGAUGAGGUAAACAGAGUGUGAGAAUGCUUUUAAUAACAUGCUUGGACACGGAUGUAUCAACAAAUAUUUUCGCUGAAGUGUGCACGAGGCUUAUUUUAAAUUUUGUUCCCAAAAUGUUGUUAUCUUUAUUUCGCCGCUUCCCGUUUUGAUUGUCUCUCUCAAAUCACGGGGGGUCUUUUUGAUGUUUCUAUGCAUCAUGCUGAAAUAAUUAAGGCUGAUGAUAGUAUAGUUGCGUGAAAACAGAACUGCAUUAUGAUCCUCAUAGUUCUUGGAUAGGUUGGGUUUGCGUCGCUUGAUCAUGCUGUUAUAGCUAGUUUGCAAGUUUGUGUUCUAUAGGGCCAUGUAAGGGGCUGAAUCCUUUCCAUACAAGUGAAAGGAUCUCCAUAUGCUACCGAGUCUUUGAACAAAUUCUGGAUAAAUAAUCUGUGUGUGAUUUUUGAUAACUUGGUAACCCAAUAAGCUAUGUCUUGUGUGCUACCAUUACAUUGAGUGACUGCUACUAGAUAAACUUGCUGGUCGAAUUCCGAACUAAUGUACUUGAGUUCAUCUCAAAACCUUAUGAUUUCUUUGGCUCUUCCUUCUUUGUUGUUUUGACUGCGAUGUAGCUCUUGUCGCGCCACUAAUAUCAUACAAACUAGAAGAUAAGCUGGUUUCAUUAAGGACUAGAAAUGUAAAUUUUUUGUUUUGAAGGCUGUGCCAAUGAAAGGGCAUCAGAUUUGUUAGACCCUAGAGAUGAAUGCGAAUGAGGACAACUUGUUUGGCCUGUUUCUUGGGACAGCUUCUCUACUUCUGAGAAGCUGUUUCUGGAUAUUUGGUGAAUAAAAGAACCUGCAGCUUUUGUUGCGGUGGAAAAGCUCAAAUGAGCUAUGAGGCACUAAAGCCAGAAGCUCCAAGUUGUAGUUUUUACUUCUACCGCAGGAGAACAGUGUUGGAAGGUACUAACCAAAAACCUGAUUUUUUUUUUGGAACAAACUUGAUUCAAACAACAGUUUGGAGGCUUUACUCUCUACAAACAAGAUCGAAAGCAUACGCAUAUUUUCUUUUGUUUUAUAUAUUUGUGCUUAAAUUCUUUAAUAAGUGCUCUAUGUUCUUACUUUGGAGAUAUUAUGGAAUAGUCCUCGUGGAUUGUGGUGAUGAUGCUUUGUGAUUAUAGUUAUUACUCUAAUAACCUUUUCAUGAGACUUUUCGAAUCUAAUAGGAUUCUUGUAAACUAAACAUAUGUCCACAAAAUUAGCUGCUAUCAAUUGUAGAUGGGGUUCUUUAAAUUGACUAAAUGUGCUGUAGCUCUACCAGGAGAAAAAAUUAUAUUGUUAAAGCUUGGAACGAACUUUGUCGAUUUUCACAUAUACACUCUCGGUCGACUUAGGUCUUUCAUUUCAUGUCGAUUUAUAGGUCGGAAUAUAUAUAUAUUUUUUCUGGUGUUAUGUUCUGAGCUUUGUUUUGGGCCUUCUUUAGAAAAAGUGUUGCUCUUUGAUAUUGCUCUCUUUGCUUUGUUUUAUAUGAAUUCUCUCAUCUUCUUGAUUAAUAUGGUGCGAUUCAUCGGACGGUGGAGACUGUAAGUAGAGACAUGUCACAGUAACAGAGCCCUCAUAUGAUGGUCUUUUUAAGAGGAUCUCCUUGAAUGGUUUUUCUCCGAGAUUUCGCGCUUCCCCUACUCAUUUAGCUUCAGUAAUUGGGACAUUGUUCUGUAAAAGCCUCUGCACUGCGAAACUGUGCACUGUUCUACUCUGCAUUGUCUCAUUGUUUUGUAUCUCUCUUCUCCUCUCAACUGUUUCUUUUUCUAUAUUUAGCGUUCUAAUUCAUUUUUUAAUGAAUUCGCAGGUUUAGCUCUGCACUGUUUCUUCAGAAAAAGUAAGUAUUAUCCUCGUUGGUUAAUAACACUAAAUAAUUGUUGGCUAUUGCUCCCAUAGCAGUUAUCAUGCUCUUUUCAUGCUCAUAUUAUUGUAGGGCUGAAGUUUUUAGACAAAGUGAAUGAAGCACUCGAAUGUAUGUACAUUUGCCGAUAAAGACCUAACAAAGGACUCCAUGAUUUCGAUGUAGGAGGUUGCGAACUCGCUGAUCCUUCGAGCUGUUUUAUCCGGUAUGCAAACGGGGCCUAAAUGUUAUGGAUUCUGCGGAUUAGAGUGAUCUCUCAUUGUUGUUACUUAAAUAUAACAUUUUUAGAACAUUGAUUAGGGAACUCGCAAAUGGAAAGCCGAGUUUUGAGAAACCUUGAUGCUCGGACCGGUCGGCCCAUUUUCUGUUCCAAUAAAAUCAUAACAAAGCCCGCAUAAAAACUACCAAGUAAUUGUGGAUCGUAAGCGCUGACCAACGAUCCCAAAAGUAUGCACGGAUAGAAAGGGUACAUCCGUCGCACUCAAAGCUCGGCUGCAAAGCCUCACGGGUUUCGACCUGACUCAACCUAUCUAGACUUUAGGUCUAUUGUUGGGCUUUUUACCGUUAGGUCUAUUGUGGACCGCAAUCCUACUCAACUUAUUAGACUCAUCUAGCUCAAUUUAUUAGUCUCUCGGGCCUAUUGUCAUAGGGUAGUAAGUUGGACCUAUUUUAAUCAAUAAUAAAUAGCCAAUAGUUAGUAGUAUUAGCGACUAAUUACACCUUUCCUUGUUCACACAAGAUGAGCCCAUUUUUCUCAUCCUUUGGCUUAUUUGGUGUUGCUGUAAGGGGUGAUGUUGUUUGAUGAAGUGCUUCUGGAGGAGUGUUGCACUAAACAACUCCUUUUAGGUGCCAUUUGGUUAUAUGUAGUUGCAAUUAUACUGCAGUUGUAACUAUAUGUAAAUACAAAUUUUGUGUUUAGUUUGAUGUAUUUAACUCCAACUGUUGCAGGAGGAACUGCAAGAGGAGACCUAACUGUAGCAGUUCGAACUACGCCCAAAUUGGCCGUAGUUCUAGCUACAGCAGUUAGAGAGAGUAACUUUAAAUAAAAUGUAUGCUUACCUCCUCAGUAUUUUUUAAACAAAAAUUAUUUUUCUUUUUUACAUUGGAGGUAAUCUCACCAUCAUAUAUAUAAAAUAAUAAAAUUUUAAAAAUUAUUUCUCAACCGUAUGCAGCCAAACAAAUUAUUUAUACUUACAGCACUUUCUACUACAUCCAACCAAAUAUGAUUCAUAUAGUUGUAACCAUAGUUAGUUAAUUCGGAUUCGGCAAAAAUUCGGUACGGAUAUUAUACGCAUAAAAUUCGUUUUCUAAUUUUUAAAUUUAUUGAAAAAUUCAGCUUAAAAAACAGAUUCGGUAUAAAAUAUAAAAUAUAAGAUAUAAAAUAUAAGACAAUUUAUAUUUAAAAAUAAAAAUUAUAAAUUUUUUAUUCAUAUUUUCAAUAAUUCGGCAAUAAUUCGCGAAUUAUUCGCGAAUAAUUCGGUUGGCCCAAAAAUUCGCGAAUAAUUCACUUUCUUUGGGAAAAAUUCAUAAACAGACCGUUUAAUUCAGAUUUUCAAUAAUUCGCGAAUAAUUUGUGAAUUUACUAACUAGGGUUGUAACUAUUGUAUUUCCAACUGCAUGCAUAUCUAACUGCACUGCAUUUAUAAUUACAUCUAACCAAACGGUCCCUUAGAAAUUCUCUCUAGAGCCAAAUUAGAAGAUUUAGAUUGGAGUUCUCAUCUUUGGGGCUCAAAACUACCUUCCUGUUUUUCUCUACAGCAGAAGCUAGCUCUAGGCCUUUCCAAUUGCAGAACACUCUUUCAUAUCAGUAACUGCAGCUGAAAGCAAAAGCAGAAGCAAGUUAAACAUGCCUUUUCUCUCCCUAUCUCAAUUGCACCAACCUUUUAGCAAAGCAUGGACUCCAAAAUGGUCAAGCAAAAGAAAGAAAGAAAGAAAAGUUAGAAAAGAAGGUAACAAUUUGAUGCUUUAGUUGUGUGAGUUUCACACACAAGUGGUGCUAAAAUUAUAUGCUAGAGUGUGUAGACUUAAUGAUAAUUAAUUAAUUAAUUAGGUCCUCCCAUUGUAGUGCAUCUCUUUUUUAUUUGGGAGUAGGAGGAUUGUGAGGUAAGGCCCCAUCAUUCUCCUAUUGUCAUCCUCACCACCUUUUCCUCAAUUAAAAAUUAAAAAAAAGCACAAUGUAUCAACAGUCCUUGUAUUAUCCCUAUAUUGUGACUUGGUUUUUAUACUUUUCAUUCGAAUACUUUAGGGGCUGUUUGGUUUAGCAGAAAAGCAUGAAAAAAAAAAAUUUGAGAAAAUUUUUUUCCACGAAUUUUUUUUUUUUUUUUUUUCUUGGUCCAUUUAGUUUCAAGAAAAAUUAGCUUUCUUUAAGAUAGUUUCUUUCCAAAUUUUAUGGAAAAGUAGUGUUUGUUUUUCUAAAAAAGAAACUAGAAAAAGAAAAUAUUAACUUGCCAUGAAAUUUGUUUUUUUUUUUUUUCAAAAAAACUAGUUUUCUUUGAAAUCAAACAGACGGAAAAUUGAAACAAAGAUUUUUUAUGAAAAACUUUUUUUUUGAAUUAUUUUUUUCCUGCUUUUCUGAGGAACCAAACACUCCUUAGUCUCUGAAUAUUAGAAAAAUAUAACAAUUCUUAAAACUUGACCAUUUUAUCUAUUGUAAACGAUUUAUUUCUUUCACCUUAGUCAAGCACGAUUAAAUAUUAUUUUACAACAAAAGUCUGCUUUCGCUUGUAUAAUGAUCAGAAAUUAAGUAUAACAUAUGUGAAAGUUCAAGAAUUAAAGUAUUCAAAUGAAGAGUACAAUGACCAAGGUAUAUCAUACGGGAAUGUUACAAGUACCAUUCACAAAUUUCUUUCCAAAAAGGUAAUAUAUAUAUAUAUAUAUAUAUAUAUAUAUAUAUAUAUAUAGAUGCCUCUUAAUAUAAUCCAUGGGUGGUGGUUAAUUAUGGGCACUCCAAUCCUUCUAAUCUUUUGAUCAUUUCCCACCUUUUCCUUUUCCCUCACUACUAAACCCACAAAGCUAAUGUCAACAUCAACUUGAUCCUAAGCAUCCUAAACAUGAUCUUUGAUCCUUGGACUUUGUUUUGAGCCACCAACAAUAACCACAAACUUUUUCUCUAUUUUUUUUUUCCUCUUUUUUUUCAUAAUUUGAUAAGAUAAUUCCAGGUCGGAAAAGUAAUCGAUACGGUAGCGUGCGGUGCUAAACUUUGUUAAUCAAUAAAAAAGGAGACAAGGAUAGGGGAAUCUUUGUAAUUUGGUUACUUCUUAAUUGCCUUCUGGGUGAGGAUCUUAGGGCCUUUACUUUUGUCUAUUAAUGGCAUGUAACACUAUAUAAAAUGUGAUCAAUAGAAGUAAAGUUGAAAACAUAGAAUAUUCCAAUUUUAAAAGGCAUGGGAGGUUAUUUAUUAAGGGCUUAGAUAGAUCAAUGUAGUACAUUUCUAUUCCAAGGGGCCUUGGAAAAUUUCAAAGAGGCAUUUUGAUUAAUGGGUCAUAAUAAGAUGGAAAUUACCUUUUACUUUGGUGCUUAAAACAUUGAAAACUUAAAAUGAGAUUUUUGUUGUCCACCUUUUUCCCCUAAUUAAAAGAAAUGGAAUUUUGUUGCUAACUAUUGCAAAUUUUUUUUCAAAAGAAAAAAGAAAUACUGAAUAUGAUAUUCACGCAUCUGAAUGGUGUUCUUAAUUAUUAUAGAAUAAACACUUAAGUAAUAUUAAGAAUUUUUCUAAAGAAAAAUUCUAGUCGUACACCCGUCGAAUAGGCAUAAAUUUUAGACCCAAUCUGUCCAAAGGUUAUAUCAACCUUUCGGGUUUUUAAUAUUAAAAAAAAUAUGCUAUAGUACAUUGAAAAGGAAGAUGUAAAUCUUAUCCGCUUUCAUCCAAGGGCUAAUAUUUCACACUUAUCUAUUUUUUUUGUUAAUCCUAAAUAUCUAAAAAUGUUUUUUAAUCCUUUUGGAUUGAAAAGUGUUAGAUAUGUAUCCACUUUUCAGAUGUACAGAUAAUAUUUUUUUAACAAAAGAUAAAAAUAUGCGAAAUUUAUUUGAACUAUGGACUAUUUUGAGUUAACUAUCUAUCUUUACAAAACAUUGAUUUUACUGUCAAUCGUGUAUAAUUUUCAGUCAACGGUACUAUUACUUUAAAAUUUAAAUAAGUUGUCUGCUUUAAUGAAUUUAUAGUUGCUAGAAUAGUAUAAAAUAUUCUAACUAAACUUACAAAGACAAACAAUAUACUCAAAUUUUGAAGUCAAAAUGCCAUUAAUUGACUCUAAUCAAACAAAUUGUCAGAUUGAGUAGUAAAAUCAAAAUUUCGAAAGGUUAGAUAGUCGACUCAAAAUGGCUUAUAGUCUAGAUAAGUUAUGUACAUUUUUUUUUAAAAAAAGUAAAGAAAUGUGUUGUGAAAACCCAAAUUAAGCAUGGUUUGACUUUGCAAAUGAGAGCAAAGGGAGGGAUUAGGAGUUAGGUAAUCCAAGGGAGGAAACAAAACGAAAAAAAGAAAAAAAGAAAAAGAUACAAAGCAAUUAAAAAGACAAACCAAAGAGAAAGAGUGAGAGGGAGAGGAUAAGGAAAGGAGAGGGAGUAGUGGUAAUAAUUACAAUCCAAGGAGACAACAAUCAAUCGCUUGUCACUAUCUCCUGGCAACAUNCCCAGUACUUGUGCUGCAUGUGUGUAACAUAGAGUGUGACAUGACAUGCACUAUAGAAUGUUAUAAAAGGGCUUUAUUUUUUUAGCCAAAAAUCAUUAAGCACCGUUUGGCUCGGGGUUAAGGAAUAGAAUAACUUCUUAAUUCAAAAGUUAUUCACAAACACCUAAUUUAGGAGGUGGGAUUAACUAAUCCCAUCCCGCCCUACUAUUCAAACCAAACAAAACACUAGUUUAUCCACUAUCCUUUUUAUUCCACCUUCUCCAACCAAACACUAUUUUAUCUAUACCUGAAGUAAACUCAAUUCUCAAUCAAAUACAAAAUUACUCUAACUCUACCUUAACCCUGAACUGAACUUAUAACUCUAUUCCUGGAAUAACAAGUUUUUACUUAACCCCGAACCAAACGGUGGCUAAGACAUUUUUUUUUUUUUUUUAGGGAUAUAUGGAUAGAUAUAAGUUUAGGAUUCGUUCUUAAAUAGACUAAUUUUUACGUUUAAAUAAAAAUUGAGUUGUUUUCGAAAAUAAAAAAAAUAGCGUUUGAAUAUAUAAGAUGGAAUAAGAAAAAUAGUGAGUAGUUAUAAAUAGAAAAUAAUGAUAUUGUUCCUUAUAUUUAAAUUUAAAUUUUUAAAUCUUAUAUUUAAAUUUAAAUUUUUAAAUUUUAUAUUUAAAAUUUAAAUUUUAAAUAUAUAACUUUUUAAAAAAAUUCAAAAUAAAAUUUUAAAUUUUAAAUCUCAAAUUAAAAAAUUUAAAGUUCUAAAUUUUAAAUUUAAGAUUAAAUUUAAAUUUUAAAAAUAUCAAAUUUUAAAUUUAAAAAUAAAAAAAUAAUAAUUUAAAAUUAUAAAUACUAAUUUUAAGAUUACAAAUUUUUUAAAAUUUAAAAUUUAAAAUAUAAAUAUAAAUUUAAAAAUAGAAUUGGGGUGGAUUAGUUAAUCCCACCCUAAUUCCAUAGAAAGGUAACCUCACCCUUUUUAGGGUUAUCCCGAAACCCCACCCCUCCAAAAACUUGUUUGGGGCACACGAGAUUCACGUAUUAAUCCGCAUCUAAUAUAUGGUACAAAAUAGUACACAUAAUAAGGUGUUAUGUCAUGACUGUGAAAGGGGUUCAGGUUAGGAACCUGGGCGAUGAUGUGAGAUACGUAUGGAUAAGUGGAUGAUAAGGAAUAAUGCUCAGUUUGCUGGAAACAAAAGGAUUGGACUAAUAGUCAGUUAUUGAGUCAUCUGGACUAUAAGAAACGACGUUAUUUUUAAGUUGACUAAUGCUGACCCUUUAUUAACUGUCAACUUGAUCUGACUUUUGAUGCUUCAGUGGGAGGAGAACAGCUUAUUCAAACGAGCAUAUCCUAGUCCCCGAAUUUAAAUAUUCCUCUUUUUUUUUAGUUUAAAUGUUUUUUUUUUGUUUAGGCCUAGUUCGGAGGUUCCUUACCUCACUCUUGUAGUUUAAUUUAUUUCUUUAAUGAAUGAAGCAUGUAGCGUACUACGUAUACCUUUCUCUCUCAAAAAAAAAAUGGCGCAAAAAAAUUAUUUUCUAUAAUAAUAAAGCUAUUGAAUAAAGAUUUAGAUCUCUAUAAUAUAUACAUGUUAUGGUUAUAUUUUGUAUCUAACAUGAAUCUAUUAUUCUUAACACUUAUUACAUCUAAAAUCUUUAUAGGAGACAUAUACCACGUACUCAUCAAGUUUUGUUGGUGGAUUUGUACCCAAGUUAUAUGUUUUAAUGGACCCUACUCCCUAGCUAGCUACUAUUUUGGCUCAUGUUCAAAAUUCCAGGUUGAAAUAAAUUUAAUUAUAGACACAAAAAUGGAGGUUCUAAUUGAAAAUUUUGUAGUUUGGUUUUUGAUAUUUGAAUUUUACAAUUAGAUUUUAAAUAUUUCUUAGUUAUUUUAAUCAAAUUUUUUGUAAAUUUUUAAUCAAAAAAAGUUCGUCGCCUUAUACGUUAUUAAUGCUAACAGGUUUUUGACAAAUUAAGGGAAUUGAUUAAAAUAACUAAAACAUAAUAGAGAUCUAAAUAUUAUAGCUAAUGGUUAAAAUUGAAGGUGAAAAAAAAAAAUUCAAAUAACGAUUAGGAACUAAUGAAGGUAUGCAAUUUAUUCCAUUUGAAUAAAUAAGAAUUAAUGUUAGUGACACUUUUACAAGUUUCAACAUCUUGUUGGGUCUAUGCCAUCGUGGGGCCUUAAUAAUAGAAUUAAUAUUUUAACCUAUACUUAGAUUUGAUUUGAUAUGGAUAUAUAGUAGUUGCUCAGUGUAGGCUUAUCAAUUCAGAUUUGGAUCUUCUGUGGUCCAAGAAUUAAUCCGACCUUUUAAAAAUCAUUUAGUUUUAAGGAUAUAACUAAGUAUAUAUAUAAGAACUAAGAUUGUUAAUUAUCUUUUUAAAAAAUAAAUCAAUCAAUAAAUAAUAUAAAUAAGCUUCUAAUUAAUACUACGUACUUCAAACCGGCCGUCCCUAGAGCAAGUGGCAAAGACAUUGGUGGUCGGUACCCGAGACAUAAGUUCAAAUUCUAGUUGAUUCACAUUUCUAGCUAAGUUUAUUUCUAAAUGAAAUAAAUGAAGUGGAUAGCGUGCUACCUAUCUCUAAAAAAAAAAAUAAAAAAAUUAAUACUACUUCAAAAGGUUUCUAGUGCAUCAUAUAUAUGCAAGUGCUAUGUAUUUAUCAUCAAACUAUCUGUGAAUAUUUUAAGAUAAAGAAAUCAAAUUAACAGUUUUCUAAUGUUGUUUAAUUAUGUGAAAAUUUUCAAUUAAACUCUUAAUAAUCCUGUCCAAAAUCCAUUACAAUAGUCAUGUGUAUAUUUAAUUUUAAUUAUUUAGCUAAAUUAUAAAAAAAAUUUCUGUAAAUACCUAUUUUUUACUCUCCCUCCCUAAUUUUCAAAAAUCUAUAUUUUACCCCCUCAACAUUUCAUAUCGUUGCAUUUAGCCUCCCUCCGUCAGUAUUUUAUUACUAUUCCAUCAAUUUCUUAUAAUUUAUACCGAAAUAUCCUUAAAAAUGAUAGAAAUAUAUUAAAAAAUUAUUUUUCUUAUAGAAAAAAUAAGAGCAAUUUGAUCAUUUAGCCUUCUCCAUUAAUAUCGUACUCCUCUAAAAAUAUUCUAAAAAUUUAAGUGGGAAAAAUAUAGGUUUUUGAAAGUUAGAGAGGAAAAGUGAAAAAGCAGAUAUUUGUAGGGAAGUUUUCUGUAAUUUAGUGUAAUUAUGUUUUGCCCAAUUUUGCCCACCUUAGUUAUUAAAAUCUGGUUUCAUUCGAUCGAGUUUCAUUUGGUUUAAUUUGUUCAAUUCUCUCAAUACACAUUUACGUAAUUUCAUUAAUUAUAUAUGAUUCAUCUCAAUACACAUUUUUUUUCUCUCUCUCAAUACACAUUUACAUAAACUCUUUUUCAUCCUAGAUAAUUCGAUUUGAGAAUCCACACCUUUAAAUAUAUUCAUUAAUUAUAUAUGAUUCAUCUAGAAUAUUUUAAGUCUCCAUUAUAUAUAUUCCAUGUUUUUCUAACAUUUUCUAUGUACUAAUCAAAAUAUCUUAAAUCGAUAAUUUUAUUGGCCGAUAUGAUGUAGAUUAUUAUUUUAUUGUAGAAUAAAAUCAUUAGUUUGAUCUUCAAUAUUUAAAGAACUCUAUCAUCAAUUUUUAUAUGAUCAUUCAAUUCAAACUGUUCGUAAUGUAGCAUAUACAAAAAAAAAUUAAAAUAAUUUUAAAUUCUAAAGACUUUUAAUACUCUAAAUUAUAUUUAGCAGCAAGGGUGAAUGAUAUAUCCCGAAGCCAUAUUAUCAAAAAUAAACUUUAGAAUACGAUUGUACUACACUAAUAAUUUUUAAGAAUUAUAACAUUCUAGAGAUUUAUAAUACUCUUAAUCAUAUUUAGCACGAGUCCAGCUAUUAUACUCUUAGGAAUAUAGACCCUUUUGUAUUCAUAAGUUUUCGGCCGUUAGAUCUACCCCUUUGACUAUUUCCACUCGUUAGAUUAUAUUAUUCAACUAACCACCCAUUCAACCCUAGAAGACCACUAUUAUCCUAACCGCACAUCACUUCAUUCAACGACUGAAAAUUUAUGAGAAUUUAUGAGUACUAAAGAGUCUUAUAAGAGUAUAGUAAACCUAGGCUAUAUAUUUAACAGUAUGGAUUAAUGAUUCGAAAGCUAUAUUAUCAAAAAUAAUAUCUAAGAUAUAUACUACAACAAAAGCGGUCUAUAGCGACACUUUUAAAUAUCGGUACAGGUUAAAAAAAGUGCUGCUGGCUAAAUUACCGACACUUUUAAAAAGUAUUGCUAUAUGUGGGGUCGCUAGGUAUAUAGUGACAGUUAAAGAGUGUCGGUAUAACCUAAAAAGAGUGCUACUAAUUUACUAACACUUAUUCAAGCAUUUAGCAACCGCCGGAACUCUAUCUCUUUGUCUGCGGUGGCGGAGGAUGAGGAGAGGAAAGAGACUCUUCGUCUAGGAUUUCAGUGGAUUGAGUGAGGGAAGAAGGGAAGAUGGUAAUUAAUUUUUCUUUUUUUUUUCUUUUUUGUUGUAAUCGUGCUGAAUGGGCUGGAUGGGGUGGGUUGAGUAGAGUAACUUUUUAUUUUUGGUUGAAUUGGGCUUUAUAUUUAGACAUUAGUAGAUUUCUUUUUAAGUUUCGGUAUAAAUGGGACACUUACACAAAAGUGUUCCAAACAUGUGUCGUUAUAACCUAAUUCUGUUGUAGAUAUACGAUUGUCUAGAUACUGUUAACAUCACCAUGACUGAAGUCUAUCUAUAUUAUUAUUAUUAUUAUUAUUAUUAUUAUUUUGUAAUACUCUGAAUAAACAUGCAUGUAUCAGUAACAAUGUCCCUCCCCGACCGUUUGGUUUCUGCAGUUCACUUUUUUGUUAUUGAAAAUAGUGUAGUCAUUCACUUUAUAGUUAAUAUAUAUUAAUUUUUUAGGUACAUUAAUAUUUUUUGGUCUUCAAAAUGUAAAGUACACACUUUAGUUCUCAAAUUUUAAUUUAAUUUAUUAUAACUUCUUGCUUGAACCUUUUAAAUUGUUAUAAUAUAUCAAGUCUUACAACGAAAUUUAGUUGACCAAAUAUUAACUUAUCUUAAUCUAAAAGUGGUAUACUUUAACGUGUUAUUAAUCAUAAUGCUAUUUUAUUAUUUCCACAUAAGCAACACAUCAAUAUCUAGUAAAAUAAAUUGAGUUGUGAGGUUGGAUUAUAAUAAUUGUACGUAAAAGAAUUAUAAUAAAUCAAAAAUUGAGAACCAAAGUAUCAAGCAAUUUAUAGUUUGAGAUCAAAAGUGUACUAUUUAACCUAUAAUCUUUCUAGUAUACUUAAUUAAAUGUACAUGUUAAUAGCUAAAGUAAAAGCAUCCUUUUGACGGAUUUGAAAUCCAUGUAUUUAUCCAGUCAUCUAUUGUGUGUCAACAAGACUAAAAUAAAAAAAAAAAAACAGAAAAAAAAAAAAAACAAACAAGACUAGAGUUAGGGUUUGGUGCAGUUUUAAGCACAAAUAUUAAUUACAACCAAACUCUUUUUUUUUAAAUUUUUUUUUUAUUUUUAGUUUUACAAGCCAACUGGAAUAAACCAGUUGACAAACCAAACCAAUUGAACAAAAUUAUUGGCUUUGAUUCCGUUUAACAAAGUGGUUACAUGUGUAACUCAAAAACUGAGUAUUUUUCUAUAAGAAAGUGUGUGUGUUGUAUAUAUAUAUAUAUAUAUAUAUAUAUAUAUAGAGAGAGAGAGAGAGAGAGAGAGAGAUAGAGAGAGAGAGAGAGAGAGAGAGAGAGAGAACUAGGCUAGAAUACUAUUAAUAGCAUAAGUUAUUGGUGCUAUUAAGUUUUCGGCCUUUGGAUAAAGCAAUGUGUGGUUAGGAUGAUAGUGGUUUCCCAGUAUUAAGUGGGCGGUUUGUUGAAUAAUAUAAUCUAACGGAUAGAAAUGGUCUAAGAGGUAGAUUUAAUAACAAAAAACUUGGUAGCACCGAAUGUUUAAUGCUAUCGAUAGCAUUGUAGCCUGACAAUAUAUAUAAGUUAUACCACUUAAUAAUCAAUCGCAAAAUAUAGAUCCAUGCUUGAUAUUAAAAAGAUAAAAAUGUAUAAAACUAACUUGAACUAUCGAUCAUUUUGAUUCAACUAUCCAACCUCUCAAAAUUUUAAUUUAGUACCAAACUUUUUAAUUAUUAAUUCGAUUUAGAUAUUUGAUGGCUCUUCGGGUACAAAUUUAAGCUAAUUGCUUACAUUAAUGAAUUUAUAGUUACAUCAAUUGCAUAAAAUAUUCUAGUUAAAUUUGUAAAAAUAAAUAACACAUUCAUUAAAUUUUAAGUUAGAAAGUCACUUAUUAGCUCGAUCAAAUCAAACAAAUUAAAAAGUUAGAUAGAAAAAUUAAAAUUUUUAAAAGUUAGACGGUCAAAUCUAAAUAGAUUAUAGUUAAAGUAAAUUAUAUAUAUACAUUUUAACCAAAAACUAACUGGGGUGCUUCUAAUAGCACCAAGCACUUGGCGCUACCAUCUCUUUGACAAUUUUUAUCCGUUACAUCAUACUAUUUAACCAACCAUCCACUCAAGCUAGAGUAUUAUUAUCAUUCUAAUCACACAUCCUUUUAUUCGAGGGUUGAAAAUCUAAUAGAAUCAAGCACUUAGUACUAUUAAUAGUAUAGUAAACUAAUUAUAUAUAUAUAUAUAUAUAUAUAUAUAUAUAUAUAUAUAUAUAUAUAUAUAUAUAUAUAUAUAUAUAUAUAUAGUUGAGCUAGAAUACUAUUAGAAGUACCAAUUCCUUGGUAGUGCUUCAAAGUUUCUAGCCAUUGGAUUUACUCCUUGAUUACUAAUAGCUUUUGGAUCAAAUACUAUUCCACUUACCACCACCUAUCACUAUCAUCUCAAGCUCACAUCUCUCCAUUGGAUGGCUAAAAACUUAAAAACGCCAUCUUCAUGCAUAUGGUGCUUUUGAGAGUAUUCUAGCUCAAUUAUAUAUAUAUAUAUAGAGAGAGAGAGAGAGAGAAUAAGGCUGGAAUACUAUUAAUAGUAAAACGCUCUUUUUGCUAUCAAGUUUUUAACCCUUGGAUGAAAAAUUAUAGGGUCAGAAUGAUAUUAGUCAGUUAGGGUUGAGUGGUCUCCCUAGGGUUGAGUGGUCCCCAUUGGGUUAUAGUAUUUAAUCCAAUAGUUAGAAAUAAUAAAAAGAGUUGAUCCAAAGGCUAAAAAACGGGUAGCAACAAUAGGAUUUUACUACUAAUAGUAGACCAGUCCAACUCAUAUAUAGUUUGACUGGGCUACUAUCGGUAGUAAACUGUUCGGUUUACUACCGAUUUGUUUUUUAUGAUAGAACUUUCAAAUCGACGAUCGGCACUGUUGAAUAUGAUCUAGACCAUUUAAAUUAUCUAGAAAUCAAAUUUCAUGAUUUUUUGGCAUCACUAACUGAACGAUCAAAGGGUCACAAAAUCUAUAAUUUUAAUGGCUGAUAUGGUGCGUUUGCUCGUUUAACGGUAUAGAAGAGUUCAAAUCAACUAAAUUUUUGUUAAAAAAUUCUUUAAACUAUUUAAAAUAAGAUCUAGACUCUAGAUCUCAAAUAUAAAAAUUGUUUCAUCACUUUUUGAAAGAUAUUCAUUUCCAACCAUUCAUUUUUCUGUUCACUUAAUGGACAAUAGAACAAUAUCGAAAAUAUGUAAAAUUUGAUUUCCAGAUAGUUUAAAUAGUUUAGAUCAUGUUUAACAGUGCCGAUCAUCAAUUUAGAAGCUCUAUCAUCGAAAACAAAUCGGUAGUAAAGCGAGCCGUUUACUACCAAUAGUAUUCUAGCAAAACUCUCAAUAUAUAUAUAUACUUUUAGAAGCACCAACCCUUGGUGCUUCUAAGUUUCUAGUCAUUGGAUCUACUCCUUAAUUACUAACACCCCUUGGAUCAAACGCUAUUCUACCUACCACCACCUACCAUCAUCAUUUCAACCCUACAUCUCUCCAUCCAAUGGUUAAAAACUCAAAAACACAUUUGAGAGUAUUCUAGCUCAACUAUAUAUAUAUAUAUAUAGAGCUAGGCUGGUAUACUAUUGGUAGCACGGAGGCCUCUGUGCUACCAAGUUGUUUUCAAUGAUGCGGCUUCCAAAUCGACGAUCGGCUCCGUUAAACUUGAUCUACACUAUUAAAAGUAUUUNAUAUAUAUAUAUAUAUAUGUAAAAAUAAUUAUGAAAACUAAACUUGGUUAAAUUUAAAACCGAAUCAAACUGAAAACUAAUUAAACUGAUCCAAAACCCAUAAUUCGCAUUGGUUCAGUUUGGUUUUCGGUUUGUAAUCAAACAAUAAACAUGCCUACAAAAUUAGGGUUUUCAUAUAUACUAUGAUACAUAUUUUCACAUUCCUUUAAUUCCUUUCCUGUCCUCUUUCAUCUUGACUUUAGGGAGUCAUGGGAUGGCCCCUGGACUUUUCUUGGAAGGUGUUGGGAAUUGGGUGUAGGAGUGGUUGAGGAGAUAUGUUGAUGGGAUAGUGAUGAGAGGAACUGCCUUUUUUUUUCUUUCUUUUUUCUUUUUUUUUUUUUGAGAGGGAGAGAGAGAAGUGUACAUGUUUAGGUACUGAGUCAUGGAGAUUGAAAAGUAACAAAACACUGAGGAAGUAAAAGUUGAAGAAGAUCUUAGAAAAGCCAUCUUUCAGAGAACCAAUCUUGGUUUCUCUUUAAAUAACAAUUAAUAUAUAUAUAUAUAUAAAUAUAUAUAUCCUGAUCUCCAUCAAUUCUAUCAGAUGUCAAUUUAUGUAUACAUAUAUAUAUAUAUGGUAGUAAGUAGUGUUGCGACUCCUAUGCCAUCUCUUCUGAGUUUAAGUUCUCUCUACACGAGUGGGGUUUGUGGAGAAGCUUAUCAUGUAUUGGCCCUAAUAUGAGAUUUGAGGUGAGAGAAAAAGGAAGAAUGAUAAGUAUUGGGGGAUCUUUUUAUGGCCAAGUCUCUAGACAUGCUCUCUCUAUCUGUGGCCUCUUUUGGACCUAAUACUUUGUUUGGUUUGGUAUUAUAAUUAAUAUCACUCUUUGGUCCCCACGUGUUAUUGAGUGUGUUCCCUUUCCCUGCCUUGAACUCCACUCAAGAAGAAUACACCCCCUCUACUCUCUCUCUCUCUCUCUCUCUCUCUAGUUUUUGUUUAUUGUUUUCGAAUACUUGAAACUUUAUUUAUGCAAGGUUAUCUAUUGGGUGAGGGAAUAGUAUUAGAUUGGCAGACCAUAGUAAUGGGUCGGUGCUCAGAUAUAUAAGUAAGCUGUAGAGAGAGAGAGAGAGAGAGAGAGAGAGAGAGAGAGAGAGAGAGAGAGAGAGAGAGAGCCAACAAGGAGGAGGUUCAGUAUGAAAAGGGUGGACUUUUGGAGCAUGUCAUAUCAAUGCAUUUAAUGCUAGAGAGGUAAAAUGUGAGCAGCUUUCAUUUGUUUGUUCCUUGGUUGAGGCAUUUUUUAUUUAUUUUUUUCUCCCUCAGCUCCUUUUAUUUCACUCACUUCCUUGCUGUUACUUCUGUUCCUUCUACAACCCCUCUCUCUCUCUCUCUCUCUAUCUCUCUCUCUCUCUUACUUUUGCUUGAUUCAUUGCCCUGCUUUGUUGAUGCAUUUCAGAAGAUAGAGAGAGAAGCUACUGCAGAUUCCUUUGCUGUUUUGGGGAUGAGAGCUCUUCAUUUCCCACAAGUUAUAGUAAGACUUCUCCCAGUCCCUUUUAGGUUUGUUGGCAUUUGAAGCAUAUAUAUAUAUAUAUAUAUAGAGAGAGAGAGAGAGAGAGAGAGAGAGAGAGAGAGAGACCCACAUCAUCUUUCUUGUGAAGAUAUAUAUAUUACUCAAUACACAGAUCUUUUUCUUCACCAUCUGCUAUUCAGUGCCUGCUUGAAGAGGCUAGAGAGAGAGAGAGAGAGAGAGAUAGAGUUAGAGAGAGAAGCAGCAAGGGAUCUUUAUUAAUUAAUUGGUCCAUAUAUAUAUAUAUAUAUAUAUAUAUAUAUAUAUAUAUAUAUAUAUAUGAUGAUGAUGAUGAUCAUGAGGUGGUGAUGAUGAUGAAGAGAGGCAGGUUGUGAGGGAGGAGGGGCAAUUUCCUUAUCUGGGGGUAUGUGUGUAUGUGUGUGUGUGUGUGUGUGUGUGUCUGAAGGGUUCUGAAACAUUCCAUCCAUUUGGCAAAGUAGAGAGAUGGGGUUAAUUUUACUUCCCCGGGCCUGCAAUAUUCCAUUUGUUUGCUAAUGGGUUGUACCCAGAUGCCUUUUGGGCUCCCCUUUGAUGUGAGUGUUCAAUGGUAGAGAGAGAAAGUGGUGCAUGAUGGUGGCUGGUUUCAUCCAUAGAGAGAGAGAGAGAGAGAGAGAGAGAGAGAGGAGGAGAGGGUUUACUUGUUGUAACAGUCUCUUUUUUAACUGACAACAAGGGAGAGGGUUGCAAGGAAGUUAUCUUGGAGGCCAUCAAUGAAGAUCCCACAAGGGGACAAAACAAAAGAUGGUUGGAGCUGGAGUUAGAGUUGGGUGUGUGUAGUCUCUAUUCACCCAUUAAAAGCUUUGCGUGUACAAGAUCCCUUAUAUAUAUAUAUAUAGAAAGAGAGAGAGAGAGAGAGAGAGAGAGAGAGAAAAGAUAAUUAUUAGCAAGAGGGAAGUGAGAGAAAACUUUGAAGAUGAAUAUAAAUA